This 54876-nucleotide long non-coding RNA is filed under the name Ananas comosus (pineapple). RNAcentral's name for it is "long non-coding RNA (ACOM_LNC017326)". The record is from RNAcentral. Lineage: Eukaryota; Viridiplantae; Streptophyta; Magnoliopsida; Poales; Bromeliaceae.
UUUAAAUAGAAGAAAACUUGAGGGUCAAGAAAACCCAACUCAACACAUAUUCUCCGCUACACUCACUACACAUGUACUCCCUAGGCACCGUUUGGUUGGCGGUCCCCGCUAUUCCGCCAAACGAAAUAAUUUUUUGUCGAGAUAUUUUAUCCCGGUCAAAUCUUACUAUUCCCGGCUAUCUCGGAAUAGCAAUGAAUUUACUAUUCCACUAUUUUGAUGGAAUAGUACUAUUCCAAUAUUUAAUUUCAAACUUUAUUAAAAUAAUAAAUUAAAUUAAAACUAAAUUAUAUAAAUAUAAUAUGUCAUAUAUUAUAAUAUAUUUUUUUAUUAUAAAAUUAUUAAUUGUACUAUAUUAACACAUAUUAUUUAUAUUUAAGUAUUAAAUAUUAUAAUAAAUUAUAUUUAAAUAUUAUAAAAUAUUAUUUUUAUUAAAUUUAAGUUUAAGUAGAAUUUUAAAAAAUUAUUNUAAAUUAUAAAUUAUAAAUUAUAAAUUUUAAUUUUGAUAUUUUAAUUUUGAAAUUUAAAAUUUGAUAUUUUAUAUUUUUCAAAUUUAAAUUUGAUAUUAAAUUUAAAGUUUGAAAUUUAAAAUUUAAAAUUUAAAAUUUUGAAUUUAAAAUUUCAAACUUUAAAUUUAAAAUUUUAAUUUCAAAAUUUAAAAUUUAAAAGUUAAAAUUUUAAAUUUAAAAAAUAUAUAUAUAAUUUAAAAUUUCAAAUUAAAAUAUAAUGAGAAGCGUAAUAUCAUUAUUUUUUAUUUAUAACUACCCACUUUAAUUAUUAUUCCAUCUUACCUAAUCAAACGAUAUUUUUUUUAUUCCCAAAAAUAACCCAAUUUUCAUCCAAACGCAAAAUUGAUUUAAUCCCCGCUUAUAGCUCAAUUUAUACCUAUCCCUUGAAUAGUCACUUUUUGUUUAUCCCCGAACCAAACGAUUUAGUUACCAUGUACUCCACAACAUCCAUUAGUUGCAAAAUUAAACCAUUACUCUAUUAUCUACAUGACUUAGUUAACUUCUAGCUAACUUAAGCCAUGACUAUUGCUACUUGGACCACUACUUGCAUAAUAAUAGGACCACUAAUAUCGAAUGUUAGAUGUAGCCCAUAUAAUUUAUUUAAGGUGAUCCCUAAGGGUACAGUUGAUCCAAAGGUUUAAGUGUAUCAGGGCAGAUUCUUGAUAGAAGUACGUUGGAUGAAGAGAUGUGCUGUUAGGAUGAUAAUAGUGCCCUAGGGAUGAGUGGGUAUUUGGUUGAAUAUUAUGAUCUUAUAGAUGGAAAUGGUCAAAAAGAUAGAUCUAACGGCCGAAAACUUAUGAAUACAAAGAGAUUUAUACGCAUAAGAGUAUAAUAGCCGGACUCUCUAUGUGUUAUUAGAAGCAUGGAAGUUUUCAUGCUCCUAAGCUGUUUUUGAUUAUAGAACUUCUGAAUCGACGAUAGACUCCGCUAGAUUUGAUUUAUCGUAUUGAACUAUUUAGUAAAUAAAUUUUACGAUUUUUCGAUAUAAUUUACCUAAUGAUCAAAAUGACUCAAAAUCAACAAAUUUUAUUGGUUGAUGUGUGCCAUUUGCAAGUUUAACGGUGUAGAAGUAUUCAAAUCAAAUGAAAUUUUGAUAGAAAAUUUUUUAUACUAUCUACAAUAAGAUUACUAUUUUUGAUCGAAAAUUUUAGUGUUAUAUCAUAAUUUUUUGUGAGAUUUUUAUUUUCAAUCGUUGAUUUUGAGUCCUUUCGAUCACUAGAUAAAUAAUAUUGAAAAAUCGUAAAAUUAAUUUUCUAAAUAGUUCAAAUACGUUAGAUCAAAUCUAACGGAGCCAAUCGUUGAUUCGGAAGUUCCAUCAUCAAGUUCCAUCAUCGAAAACUGCUUAAGAGCAUAAAGGCCUUCGUGCUCCUAAUAGCAUACAAGACCUACUCACACACACACUCUCUCUCUCUCUCUCUCUCUCUCUCUCUAUAUAUAUAUAUAUAUAAAACUGGAUUUUCCGUCUAAUCCUAAUCUCAUUUUUGGUUCUGCCAAGGCUCCAUAUCCAAGGAUAAGGGAGUAGAGUGAAAAUAUUCCAUUCUUUUGUAGAUCGUGACAAAGGAGGAAUCAUAAGAAAGAACCGUUAUGUUUAAUCAAUCGUUGAAAAUCAAAAAUUAUGACAGAAGAUACGAUAUUAAUAUUAAUAUUAAUAUGGUAUAUGGUAUAAUAUUAUAAACAAGUUUGCACCAUUUUCCAACAGUACCUCGCCAUCUCGAGCCUCUAUAGUCGUCUUCAGCUUGUAGUACUCCAACUCGUCGAGCACGUCCUCCGCCUUCUCCACAACGUCUCUCAGCUGCCACAGCCACGGUUCGAGCGCUUUGUCGGGUUCGGCGCUCACCGGAGGCCCCUCGACCGCAAUCAAAACCGACUGGAUCUGCGGAAGGGCCUGCUGCACUCUCUCCAGCUCAUCUUUCAUGCCUCUCCGGCCGUGGUACGCCUUGAGACAGGACAAGCCCGUGUCCACGAGAUUCUGGAUGAUCGCAGACGCCAACGAUUGUUCAAUGAAAGCUAAGUCCAUGUUCGAUCCAAAGCGUUCAAGGAAGGGAGAGAAGGAAGAAACAGAUACAUACAUGCAUAACCUUCUACACAUAUAUUAAAGUUGCUUUCUCAAGUAGCUUCCCCAGCAUUGUAAAUUGUAGAAAGGAAUUAAGUACAAUUAAUUGGCCAAUCACUACAACUUUCUUAAUUUGUUUACAGUUAAUUGGCCAAUCACUACAACUUUCUUAAUUUGUUGACAACCAAUUGACCACCAACAUCAAUAUUUGAUACAAGCUAGGUAAGUAAUGGAGACUCCUCACCUAUAAGCCAUUUUGAAAUGUCCUCUCAACUUCUUGUUGUUGUUGUUUUUGUUUUUAUCUCUCUCUCUCUCUUUUUCUUUUUCUUUUUUUCCUAAUAAGUGAUGUUAUUUAUUAUAUCUUUCAAAAUUUUAAACAUAUUUUAUUUAUCUUUGAAGGACCAAAAUAGACUUAUUGAUUGGGAAAACUUCAAAAACCUCCCUUGUGGUUUCACUUUUUUUCACUUUAGUAUCCUGUGAUUUAAAAUGUAUCAAGUUAGUACCCUGUGGUUUAUCUAAAGAUGUCCGUGGACCGGGUCAGGUCUGGGUAAUUAAUAUACUGUACCCAUACUCUAAAAAGGAAUGGUAGAAAAAAAUAUAUAUAACCUACCCAUUUAAGUUCGGGUUGGGUUUGGGUCUGGGGACUAAAGUUACUAAUAUACCCAUCGGGUCUAUUUGAGCGGGUCUGAGUAGUGACUAUCCGUAUACUAUCCGUUCAAGACCGGAUAUGGAUCGGGUCUAGAUCGGGUAUGGAUAUCCGUAUAAGUAUAUUUUUUUUAUAAACUUUAUUAAAUAAUCUAUGAACAAACUCUAAAACCCGCCAUAAAAAAAACUCGCAUUCUAUUAAGUUGUACCUUCCAAUAAAAUUCAUUCAAAAGAAAAAAAAAAGAGUAGAAAAUAAAGAGUAAAAAAAUUAGGAAAAAAUAAUGAGUAAAAGAGACGGCUAGGAUUUCAUUAGGAUGAAAAUAUAUAGUGACUCAUCAUCUAUAAGUCAUAUUAAAAUUGAUCCUUCAACUUUAAAAUUUUAUUUUUUUUUAUUUACUAUUGGAUAUUUCAUCGAGUUCGGGUCCGGGUCCGGAUUUGAAAACUAUUCCGGACCCUACCCAUUUAAAAGUUGGGUUCAGAUCGGGUCCAAAUCGGGUAUGCGUAUAAAAUAUCCGGACCCAUACCCAAAACUUUAAUGGGUAAUUUUUUUUAUCCGUAUAUUAUUCAUUUUUUAUCGGGUCCGGUUCGGGUCCGGAUAGGGUCCGGAUCGGGUAUGGGAUAUCGGAUAAUUUGGACACCUUUAGGUUUAUCACUUUAUCACUUUAGUAUUCUGUGAUUUAAAGUGUAUCAAGUUAGUAUCCUAUGAUUUUACACUUUAUCACUUUAGUACCCUGUGGUUUCGCAAUUUAUCACUUUAGUACCCUGUGGUUUAAAAAUCACAGGGUACUAACUUGAUACAAAAUUAAAACCACAGAGUACUAAAGUGAUAAACUGCAAAACCACAGGGUACUAACUUGAUACACUUUAAACCACAUGGUACUAAAGUGAUAAAGUGAGAAACCACAGGGUACUAACUUGAUACACUUUAAACCACAGGGUACUAAAGUGAUAAAGUAUGAAACCACAUGGAGAGUUUUUGAAGUUUUCCCUUGAUUUUAACAAAUUUUUUCAAAUAUCCCCGUUUCCCAGGGUUUACUAGUAGGAUUGGGUUAUAGAAGGGCAUUUUAAUAAUUUUAGGAUAAAACCGAUCGUUCCUAGAGCAAGUGACAAAGGGCUUGGUGGUUGGUAACUGAGGUUCCAAGUUCGGAUCCUAAUUGAUUCACAUUUCUAGCUAAGUUUAUUUCUAAUGAAAUAAACGAAGCGGGUAGCGUGCUACCUAUCUCUAAAAAAAUAAAAUAAAAUAAAAUAAUUUCAGGAUAAAUUUGAUAAUUUUAAAUAGUAGUAAAAGGUAAAUAAGGAAAAGCACCGACUAACAUUCAAAAUAUUUAGAUUUAUUCUAAAAUUAAUCAAAUACCUUUAUAUAUCCUAAUUUCCAUUAGUAAAUCUUUAAGGGUUUGGGAAUAUUUGAAGGAAUUUUUAAAAAUCAAUAAGCACAUUUAGGUCAACUAUGAGUAUAUUUGAUAUUUUUGAAGUUUUUGAGGGUAUAUUAGAUAUUAUCUCUUUUUAAUAAAAUGUUUAUAUUAGGAUGUAGGACAAGAUGAUGGUUGCUUACACUCUUUGCAUCCCAUGUUUUUGUUCUAACUGAAAAAAAAAAAAAAAAAAUUUUUUUUGAAGAAGAGGAAGUCAUGUCUCAUCUAGGGAUGUCAAUGGGUAUGGAUAUCUAAAAUUAUAUCCGAAUUCGAAUCUGAGCGGAAUGGAUUUAUCUGAUACUAAACGGAUAUAGUUUCGGAUAUAGAUAUCAAAAACAAAACCCAACGGAUAUGGAUUUGAAUAUAGAUUUUCACUGUACUCAACUCAAAUCCAACUCGAAUCCGAAUUUAUUUUAUAUUAUAUAUAAUAUGUAUAUAAAAAUUUGAUUUAUAUUUCAAUUAGUAUUUUAAAAAUUUAGAUUUAAUGUAAUAUAUAUUUUGAAAUAUUGAAAAGAGAAAUAAUUGUUUUGGGUUUCGGAUUUUUACUCGGGUUUCGAAUUUUUAGUCGGGUUUGGAAGUGGAUUUUUAAAAUCCGUCGGGUUCGGGUUUGGAUUUCGGAUUUAGAGUCGGAUUUGUAUUAGAAUUUUUGAAAAUUUGCUCCGAAUCCGACCCAUUGAUAUUCCUAAUCUCAUCAAGUAAGAGUAAAGUCCAUCGACCCAUAUAUCCAAUUACAUAGAAUUAUUUAGAAUCACAUACAAAAAGGUACUACGUACUGUUGCCAAACUUAACGUCUAAGUUUCUUAAUUUAAGUUACUGUAUUAAAUUAAGUUAAAUAUUUUGUUAAAUUUAAUGAUUUUUAUUAGUAAUUAGUGGGUAAUAUCUAGUUUUAUUUUCUAAAAUGUUAUUAAAUAUAUUAAAUUUGAUAAAAUCAACUAUGAGUUACACCAAAUUUCUACAAUUUAAUGUAUAAUAUAUAUAUAUAUGUGGAAUAUUCGGAUUAAGUUUUCAGAUUUAAUGGGUUCGAUUUUGAUUAUGAAUUAGAAAAAUCAUUUGAUUUUCUCCUUCUUUUUUUUGUACGUGAUGUUAAAAAUACCGAUAAGCACCCUGAAGCAAAAAACUAGAAGAAAAAAAAGAAAUUUGUAGAAAAAUCGAACCCAUUAAACUGCAGGAAAAAAAUAUUUCAGUUAUUUUUCACAAUAUUUAUUUUUUUAGAUAUGUAUAAUUUUAUGAGUAUAUAAAAAUAUAUAGUAAUACACGAAAUGAAAAAUAUACGUAUACAAAUCAGAUACAAUCUUUUACAUUAACUUUAUAUAAAAACAUUCAUUGCAGAAAUUUUAUAAUAUUAAAUAAAAUUAAAAUUAUAUAAAGUAUUACCAAAUUAAAAUAGUAAGGGAACACAAAAUAGCGCACAACUAAAAAAUAAAAGAUUCUCAACAAUUGCCUAUUUAUAAAAAUUAAGUUAACUAAAUAUAUAACUUUUUUUUACACUAUAUUUAUAAAAUUUUAUUAUAAAAAUAGAAAUUUAUUAAUUUUUGUAUCUUGACUUUCUAUAUAUUACAGAUUUUAUUAGGUUAGAUUUAAUUUUGUUAUAUUUAUUAAUUAAAAAAUAGAUUUUUUGUUAAUGCAAAAAUUUUUAGACAUGGUGCAGGUCAAAAAAAAAAAAGAAAAAGAGCAAAAUAAAACUAUAGAAAAGCAAAAAUUUUUUGUUAAUGCAAAAUUUUUCUGUAAUUAUUUUAAUUUUUUUUUUUACUUUGCCACCCGGUUAGACAUAAAAUUUUUUUGGUGAAAAAAAAUUAAACUAUAGAAGAGCAAAAUAAAACUUUUUAAAUUAUAGGGUGACAAAGUAAAAUAUGUGCUAUACUUCAAUGUGGCAAUUUGAAGUAUUUAAUUUAUAAGAAAUGGGUGUCAAAAUUUUUUUUAAAUUUUUUUUUAAUACAUAGGCCAUCUAAAUGCAAAUGGCGCAGCCAAUAAUUAAUUCCCUUUGCAAUUACUUAUAAUUUUUCAAAUUAACUUUUCAAACUCCAAGCCCAAUUCAGCUAAGGCUUUAUUUGGAAUUGCGGGGAGAUUGCGUUCCGUGCAGUGAGAAAAGACGAUGGAAAAUUACCCUAUUUAUUUCUGUACGUAAUAUUGCGUUUCGCAUAUUGUGGUUAGUCAGUUACGAUAUAUUUUCUGCGGUGCCAUCGGAGAACGAAGCAUAUCCCUAUAUGCUUUUUCUCAACUCCAUUUAUCUAAUAGCGUUAGAUAGAUCUCAAUACCAAACUAAGCCUAAUGUGAUCUACAACAGUAAGAGGACUAUAUAUAAAAAAAGAGCAAUUGUUUAUAUAUUUCUGAAAAGUUUUCGACUUUCUAAUUUACCUCUCUUAGAAGGCUAAUAUUGAAAAAAAUAUCAUUUUUAUAUUUCUACCUAUUUCAAAUAUACUCAUAGAAUUAAAUUCUGUUAAUGGACUGUUAGCUAUAACUAUUAUUUUUAUGAGAUUACUAUUUUACUUUUUUAAAUAUACCCUUUAUACCACUGACUUUUUUUAUUUGCCCUUAAGUUAAGGGCACAAAAAAUAGUUCGAUUUUUGAUCUUUUCAAAUAUACUCUUCGACCAUCACCAACAUUUUUUAUUUCCACUUAAGUUAAGGGCAAAAGAGAUAUUUUGAUUUUUUUUUUACUCUGGUAGAUAUUUAACUCACGUUUAACCCAAGUUAACUUAACGAGUGGUAACUAAAAGGAUAUUUUGGAAUAGCGGAGGAAUAUACGAGGGGUAGAUUGGAAAGAAAAAACAAUAUGGAUUAAUGGGAUAUUUUCAUAGUUUUGAAGGGUAUAUAGGCAAUUAUCCCUAUAAAAAAAUACAUAAUUUGAAAAAAAAAAAAAAAACUUAUUAUUGUAGCAUGAACUAAAAUAAAAAAUCAAUAAUUGUCUAUAAUACACCGGUAAAGUACUAGCUAAAUUUUAGUCUAUAAAUAUUUGUUUUUUUUUUUUUUUACUUUUUCCUUCCGGUUUUCAAAAAUCUCUAUUUCUUAUAAUUUAAAAUUGUUUUUUCUUCAAAAUAAGUAAGGAUAGUUUUAUUAUUUCACCCUCUCUGUUAAUGUCAUAACUCGUUGAAAACAUAUUUCAAAUUUUAAGAGGGAAUUAGUUAGACUUUUAAAAACUCAUUUGAAAAAAAUGGAUAUUGAGAAGAGGGUUUUUUUUUUUUUUAGUCUAAAUUUUAAUCUGAAGACCUCUAUCAGGGAAUUAUAGAAAUGCAGUGUAUAUGAAUAAUUUCCAUUAAUUAUGCAGUUACUUAAUCUAGGGCAAGUUUGUUUCAUUGAAACUGGACUUUGGGUUGAAGUGGAUUUUGGGUUGAACUGGAGUUCGGUAAAAACUACUUUUUCUCCGCUGUUUGUUUCGUAAUUAUGGAAGUGAAGUUCCAUCAGUUCUGCUGUUUGUUUGAUAGAAAGUGUAUAAUAUAAAACUAUAAUUUAUAUAUAAAUAAUAAAUAUUUUAAUAAAAAAAUAAUAUAAUUAUAUUUUUAUAUAAUUAAAAUUUAAUUUAAAACAACUAAAUUAUUUUUUUAUACAUAAAUUAUACUAAUACAAUAAUAAAAUUAUAAAGUUAAAAAAUAUUAAUACUUAAUUAAUCAAUUUUUAUCAUAUUUUAAAUGUACAAGCUAAAUAAAAAAAUAUUAAAACUUAACGAAUCAAUUUUUAUCAUAUUUUAGAUUUAUUAACUGAAUAAAAAAAUAAUUAGUAAUAUAAUUAAAUAUAUUUAAAUAUAACUAGCUUUAUCUAUUAUAAUAAUUUUUUUUUUCACCUCUCUUUACCGUAAUUGAUUUCGGCCCACGAUGGAGCGAAGUCAAUUACGGCGUUUGAGGUUAACUAGAGUUUCGGCCAUAACUUUUUUACGAUGAACCAAAUAAAGGAAGUUGUUGUUUAGGACGAAAUGACUCCUCUCCUCUCCACUUCCACCCUAUUUCCGCCCAAACAAACAUGUCAUCUACACAAAUAAACAGACUAUGUAUUAAAAAAAAAAAAUUCUAAGAUUCAAAAAUUUAUUACAAUAGUAUUAAGUAGUCUCAAAACUUAAUAAUCACAUGCAAUGAGUAGAUAAAGAACUACUUAGAUUUUAAUCUUAGAGGGAAAAAAAAAAAGUACAGAGACCCUCUGAACUUUAGUUUUGCAGUAAAUAAGACACCAGAACUUUAUGGUUGGUCGAUGCUGCUGCGGUUGGUAAAUAAGACACCAGUAAAUAAGACCACCUCCCCCCUCGGGCCGGACCCCCUCUGGUUUGGUCGAUGUUGCUGCGGACCACCUCUCUCCCCCCUCGGGCCGGGCCACUUUUGAUUUGGUAGAUGCUGUUGCGAAUCACCUCUCUCCCCUCUCGGGCCGGGCCCCUUCUGGUUUGGUCGAUGCUGCUGCGGACCACCUCUCUCCUCCCUCAGGCCGGGCCCCCUCUGGUUUGGUAGAUGCUGCUGCGGACCACCUCUCUCCCCCCUCGGGCCAGGCCUCCUCUGGUUUGGUCGAUGCUGCUUCGAACCACCUCUCUCCCCCCUUGGGCCCGCCCCCAACUAGCCUGGUCCCCCGGUGGCUUUCCCUCAUGUCACGUUGAAUCUGCUUCGUCUCACCUGGGUCCCUGAUUUACCUGACUCUUCUCAGCCGGCGAGGUCCGAGCCCAUCUCCUGCUACUCCCCCAGCACCAGCCCGUUUCCUCUUCGACCUGUCUUUACUGAGCCUAGGCCCCCCUCCGCGCUCUCUUUGGACUCCACUUUGCUCGGGCUGUCUCGGGCCGUUGAUCGACCCUCCCCUACGGAUCGCCAGUCUCGGGCCGUGGACCGAGCCUCCCCAACGGAUCGCCAAGGCUUGGGCAAUUGCUCUGACCAUGCCAUGCCCACCUUCUUAAGGCGAAGCUCAAGGCUUGCUGCCAAAGGCCGAGGGAUGAAGAUGUCACCCCUACAAAGAGCUCGGGACUUAUUGAGCAGGAAGCUUAAGUUUACGAGGCCUUCUUACAAAACGGCGCGCUUGCCUACCUCCUCGAAGUCCCCAACCUCUGUUGUCGAGCCUCUGAUCGACGACCCUCUCGAGGCUGCUAAUGAUCCUUCUCUCCCCUCAUCCUCCCAGCAUCCCCCGAGAUCGUCUGCUAAUCCGGACCCUUCGAGAGCUACCUCUCUACCACUCACUACUGAUGAUAUCAAGAAGAUGUCCUCCUGCGGGAUCAUCGAUCAGACGGUUGGCCCACCCGCUGCUCAGCACGCCCUCCUAGCUGCUACCUCGACCUCCCUUGGGAAUCUCACCGAGAGAGCGUAACCCCUAGUCGGGCCUCCAUGUCGAGAUCCUCUUGUUCUAUGGUUAGAAACAGGGUAUAUCAGUUUUUGUCUUGGAAUGUACGGGGGCUCAAUGACCCCGCCAAAUGUACGGUUGUCAGGAAUUUUAUCCGUAAUAGUAAGUGUUGCGUCGUCUGCUUACAAGAGACCAAACUCCCUUCCAUUUCGCGUGCUAAAUUUUUUACCUUCUGUGCAUUUCAUUUGGUAGAUUUUCGUUCUGUUGGUGCUACUGGGGCCAAGGGGGGCCUACUCACAGCCUGGAAUCCUUCUCUUUUCGAUCUCAUUGAUGAACGGGCUGACACUUUUUCUCUCUCUGUUGCCCUGCGAAGGAAAUCGGAUGGAAGGGUACUCUCGGUCUCCAACAUCUAUGGUCCUGCUUGUGCUACUUUUCAGCAAGAAUUUUUCCGGCAACUCAGAUCCCUCGAGCAUUUUUCUAGAGGGGUUUGGGUCGCAUUGGGGGAUUUCAAUACUCUCCUCUCACCUCUCGACAAAAAUGGGACCCUAUCGAGCCCCACUCACACUCUGUUGUUCAAGGAGCUCGUCAGAGAUUUAGGCCUAUUCGAUCUCCCCCUCUUAAACAAAUCCUAUACCUGGACCAAUGCUAGGCGCUCUCCCACUCUCGAGCGGCUCGAUCGCGCUCUCAUCUCGCAGGAUUGGCAACUUCUCUUUCCCCUCUCCUUCUUAAGAGCGCUUCCCCGGCCCCGAUCCGAUUACUCGCCGAUUGUCCUCUCGGCGCAUACUUUUAUGCCGUCACCUAAUCUGUUCAGGUUCGAAUCCUUCUGGUUCCGGUGCCCGUCCAUUGGUAGCAUCAUCAACCAAGCCUGGAGCUCGUCGGGGCCCUACUCGAACCUCGUUCAGCGUUUUGCCUCGAGAAUCAAGAGCGUCCAACUGGCCCUCCGAUCUUGGUCGGCGGGGCUCACCACUUUAAUCAAGGUUGAGUCUGACUUAUCCCUCGCCUGGAUUGAUUGGCUCGAUCGGGCUGAGGGAACCAGGGCCUUGACUGAAGCAAAGUGCAGGUUGCGGCCUCUCCUUAAUACCGUUACGAGGAGCUCUGCUUGCUGGAGGAGAUUAAAUGGAAACAGCGGUCUAGAAUUCAUUGGCUUCGGGCCGGUGACGCAAACUCUAAAUUCUUUCACCGCAAAGCCUCCUGCCGCAGGAUUUCGAACUCGAUCACUCAGCUAGCUGAUGGUACCUCUUCAUUCUCUACCCCCGUUUCUAUCGCUAACCACUUGUUCUCAUUCUACCACAGUUGCCUUGGAGUCGAGCAGCCGCCUCGCGCGACUGUCAAUCUGGUCUCUCUCUACGGCGGAGAGGACUUUGAUCUUUCUAGUCUCCAAGCCCCCUUCACUGUUGACGAAGUUGAGUUGGCCAUCUUUCUUUGUGCACCGGAUAAGGUCCCGGGCCCGGAUGGCUUCCCGAUGCUCUUCUACCAAAGAUUCUGGAGCAUCCUCAAGGCGGACGUCAUGGAGUUAUUCGAGUGCUUUUAUAAUGGGACCUUGGACCUGAGUGGACUUAACUGCAGCUGGAUCUGCCCUAUCCCAAAGAAAAAAUCUGUUGUCUCCGCAAGGGAUCUUCGGCCAAUUAGUCUGGUACACAGUUUGCCCAAGAUCUUCUCGAAAGUGUUUACAACCAGACUUCAAUGCUUUAUGGAUAAGCUUAUCAACCUCUUUCAAGGGGCAUUCAUCAAAGGCCGCUAUAUCUUCGAUAACUUUCUUACUGCGCAUAUCCUUAUCCAUCAUCUUCACAACUCCAAACAGCAGGCGGCCCUCCUCAAAAUCGAUUUCGAGCGCGAUCACAUCAAUUGGCACUUCCUUUUGGAGCUGCUUUGAGUGAGAGGCUUUGGCAACCGUUGGAUAUCUUGGAUAUCUUCUCUUUUGCUGUCUACAUCCUCGGCGGUUCUUCUUAACGGGCUACCAGGCAAAUCGUUCGCUUGUAGACGGGUCUACGAAAGUGAGAUCCUCUCUCCCCCUUCCUUUUCAUUUUAUGUGUGGAUGCCCUCUUUAGAAUGAUACACUUAGCUACAACCUCGAAUUCUCUGUCGGCUGUGGGAAUUGGCGACACCAAGAUACAUACCCUGCAAUUUGCUGACGAUUUAAUCCUGUUCUUUGACGGGUCCUGUUGGUCUGCUGCGGCGAUUAAACUUAUCCUCGACGCCUUCUCUGAAAACUCUGGCCUGAAGAUCAAUUACCAGAAAAGCGCCGUCAUCCUUAUUAAUCUUACAAGUGCGCAAGCCUCGGAUCUGACGGAUACUUUGGGAUGCUCCAUGCAAGGCUUUCCAUUCACCUACUUGGGCCUGUCGCUUUCCCCGAAGAAGCUUCGAAAGACGGAUUACUUCCCCUUGAUCGAAAAGCUGGAUAAUCGCCUGGCUGGCUGGAAGGGUUUCCUCCUAUCGAGAGGUGGACGCCUUGUUCUGCUAAACUCAUCUCUCUCUAGUAUCCCAAUGUACUUUUGCUCAGCCUUUGCUCUGCCUUCUUGGGUCAUUAAGGCUAUUGAUCAAAUUCGCCGGAGCUUUUUUUGGAGGGGCAAAAAACUAAAGAAUGGCUUCUAUUGUCUUGUUAACUGGGAUGAAGUGUGCCGCCCCAAAUGUUAUGGUGGCAUCGGGAUCCAUAAUCUACAUUCCAUGAAUGUCGCCUUACUGAUGAAGAUGUUAUGGAAAUUCUACAACUCUCGCUCUCUACCCUGGGUUCGAUUAUUAAUCUAGAAACACUACAGGCGCAUGGCUCCAUCCCUGGGUGCGCCCAAACUUUCGGAUUGCUGCCCCAUCUGGCGAGAUAUUCUUUCCGUUGCAAUGCCCUUCCUAACCUCCGUGGAGUUUCAGCUCAGAAAUGGUAUUGCAACGUCGUUUUGGCAUGCACGGUGGUGUGGAGAACUAGCCCCUAGAAAUCGCUUUCCUAACCUAUUUGCUGUGGCUAAGCACUGGCAUCUCUUGGUCUCCGCCUGGUUCUGUCGCUUUGCCACUCGUGCAAAUUUGGGAUUUCCUGCCCCGCUUGGCCGAUUGGAGCACCUAGAGCUCCAACACCUCAUCACUUUGACACGCUCGUUUCCGAUCUCGGACAACAUCGACGACUCCCCUUCGUGGCGCUAGACCAACUUGGGUACAUUCUCGGUCCGAAGCGCUUAUGCUUUCUUAUCUUAUGAUGGCGUCACCAACUCCAAAAUCACUUUCCUCUGGAAGCUCAAGAUUCCACUAAGAAUCAAGAUUUUCUUGUGCCUUGCUGCGUGGAACAAACUUCUCACUGCCUGUUUUCUUGCCAAGCGGGGAUGGCAAGGACCCUCCAUCUGCGUCCUUUGCUACUCCGAUGCGGAAAUGAUUGAUCAUCUACUCUUCCUCUGCCCAUUUGCUAGAGACCUUCGGAACUUCCUGCUCGGGCCCAGCACGCGGAUGCAGCAGGUUUUGGCCAGCACAACUGGGCAGCUGGGGGAUCGUUGGAAAAGAGCUAGAGGAUGCCUAUCGAGGCAGCAACUGGCAUUCUUAGACGCGGCUUUCUCUGCAUGCUCCUCGGAACUUUGGAACGAGCGGAACAGGCGGCUCUUCGACAAUCAUCUCAUGCUCCAUAGCGACUUGGGACAGAACAUUCUUUCCACAGUGCGACUGUGGAACGCGGCAUUGGGAGCGCCGGGGACCUAGAACAACUCACCACCGAGGCUAUAUCUGUCGCUGCUACUGCUGCGGGGUUUUCGCCACAUGCUAAGACGCCGAGGCCCCUCACCGUGCCCCAAUUAGCUCUGAUGUGCCUUGUUGUGUUUUGUAUGUUGUGUUUUGUAUGCCUGUGCUGGUUCCCCUCUACCCAACCUUGGAUCCUUCUUUGCCUAGCAUUUUUUUGUACCUCCCUUUCUCAAAUAGGGUAUAUCCCUGCUUAAUAAAAAAAAAAAGACACCAGAAUUUUUAAUUUUGAUAAUUAAAUUCUCUAAAUUUUAUAAAGUAGUUCAAUAGGCAUCUCUCUUCAACUAAAGUUACAUAUUAUGAAUUUGAUUGGGCCGUCUAUUUCGUAAGCAUCAUAAACAUUUAUUAUUUUAGACAAAAUCUAAUGAUUUAUUAAGAAAUACUGGCAAAAAAAAAAAAAAAUGUAAAACAAAUCUCCCUAAUAGACCAAUUUAAAGCUUCUAUCAAGUUUUUUUUUAUUUUUUUGUUAUCUUUGUUUAUUUUGUUAUUUUUUAUGUUAAAAUGAGUUCACUAUAUGUUCUAUCGCUUUUAAUUAAUAUUUUUUUAACAAGUUUCAUAUAAAAUUAUAAGUUAUUGCUUUUAGUGUAAACAAAUUGAAAAAAAAAGAAGAAUAGUUGAGGGGUGGUCGUUGAAAAAAAAAAGAAAUUUAAUAUAAUAUAAAGAAUGAAAUUUUUUUUUUAUAAAGUACAGUACCUUAGUGUGUCAUUUAAGUCAAGUAAAAAAUGUAAACUUUUGUUUACAAAAGAUUAAAUGAAUUUCAGGUGCUCUUUGUACAUUUUCCCCUUAAUCUAUAGACCUCUAUUAUUGGAUAUGAGCACAGUAAUUUCUCCCUAAAAAAAGUUUAGAAUGCAUCAGUUAUAUUGCUGAUAUGGUGUCCCCAAUCAAUCACAUUAUCCUCUUAGAUUCACCUGUUCUAUCAUAAUUAAUAAAAAAAUAGGAUAAACUUCAAAUACCACCCAUGUGGCUUCGUACUUUCUCACUUUAGUAUUUUGUGGUUUAAAAUAUAUAAAGUUAUUACCAUAUGGUUCCUCCAUUAAUAUUUGUUAAAUUAUAUACAAAAAACUUUAGAUACCCCACCUAGGUUUAUCGAAUUUUAACUUUGUCACCCUUUAGUUUUAACUCUGUCAUGAAUUUAACGAAAAAAAAAUUAAUGGAAUGAAUAAUAAAAGAAGAAAAAUAAAAUCAUAGGGUACUAAAGUAAAAAAAGUACGAAACCACGGAAAUAAUAUUUGAAGGUUUUUCAAAAAAAUAUUUUUAUUUUAUUUUUCUCUAGAGUAAAAGAAAAUAUGAUGUUGGUUGCUGAUUACGUGAUGUGUAAGCGUUGAAAGGUACACUUCCUCCGUGGACGUGGGGGAGGCCGGAUUAAUUCGCCGGUCGGCGAUAAUUGAGUGCUGUUGGUUGUUGCAGAAGGCGGACAAAUUUGACCCGUAAGCCUUCUCUAUCAGAAUUAAUGCCUUCGGCUUCAACCGAAUGAUUGGAGUCGCAGGUAUUUCGAGUUGCAACAAUCAAAAUAUGCGCAAGUUAAUAAAACCAACACUAUUGGAACUCCACUCAAAUAAAAUAACAAUCUAAUCAUGCGGGGUAAUAAAAUGUGCUGCACAAUUAACUCCCGAUAUCACAUUGUCGGCCGCCAACGUGAUCCCCGCGAAGUUAGAAAUUGUAGCACGGAGGACUUGAACUUAAUUAAGAGCUUAAUUAGGCAUAGCUUCACAAAGAGAUCACCCCCGUACCGACCACCCAGCAACGUAGACUUAAUUAAUGCAUGGCUUCUUAAUUUUGUCGCUCUGCGGCUUCAUUAACACAAGUUUAAUUGGAAUUCUAAUCUAAUUAGAUUUCUAAACACAAGUUUAAUAUUAGAUUCCGACUCAUAAUCCAUAUAUGCCAAUUUAUAUUCAAUCCCAAUUAGAUUAUAAUUUAACUCUAAUUUAGGUAACUACAAAUCAAACCAAAUUUAACAAAUAAAGAAGUAUUUAAGCGGAGAUUUUAGGGGAGUAGUCCUCUUCCAAAUUUUUAUUUUAAAACUAGACCUACUAAAUUUUUAUUUGUAAAUAUAGUCUUAUGAUAGAGAGAGAAAAAAAUAUUAAUAAAAGCGGCGAAUGAUUCACCGCAUUUGUUAAAUUUUACCGUCUUAUAAAAGCGGUGAACGGUUUACCGCUUUUAAAAGCGGUAAACCUUUUCUUCCUUCUUUUAUGUCUCUGUAACGAUAUUGGGAAGAGUUAUAAAAGCGGUGAAUGAUUCACCGCAUUUAAAUACGGUGACUCAUUCACCGCCUAUAUUAUUUAUUUUUUGAAAAACUCAAUUUAAUAUAUUGGAGGUCUAUUUUUAUAAUUAUUUUUUUUUAAAGAUUAAUUUUAUAAUUAUAAAAAUCGGUAGGAUUAUUUAUAAAAAAAAUUUCUCUUUAAGCACUAUGUGGCAGUAAUAAUUUCUCCCUCUGUACAAUAGCAGUGGCGCGCACAGGGCGCGUUUAAAAUUUGAUUGUCAAACUGCAUGUCCGACCAAAAUGCUUUCACAUGUAAUGUCCUCCAAAACGCAUUAUAUUUUCUCCCCUCUUCCGAGAAGAAUACAAGAAAGUACUUUUCGUGGAUCUUUCUUUGAUGCCUGCGCGCCAUUGUAUCUAUCUACUCGGCUGAUUGUUUCGACAUCUCGCUUUCCUCAUCCUCUAAUUUAUGCACUCUCGGUGUUUCAUCAAUUUGGCCUGAGUGGUGGUGAAGCCGAAUAUGGCUUUAACCUUCAUAGCCGAAACGGCGGCGACGGUGAUCAUCGAGAAUCUUGUCAGCAGGUGCUUUUCCUACCUCGAGGCGUGCCCGGCAGCUGGCGGCAUGCAGGACGAGCUCGAACAGCUGCAGCACGCCCUUCCGCAGGUCCAGGCAGUCUUGACUGCGGUCGAGGAGGGUGCGCCGGUCGUGGUGCGGAAGACGGCGCUGGAUACGUGGCUGUGGCAGCUUAGAGACGCCGUGGAGAACGCGGAGGACGUGCUCGACGAGCUCGACUACUACGAGUUACAGAAGACUGACAAGGUGCGUGGUAUUCUAUCUGACCGCAUGAGAAUGUCUGAUAGUUUCGUUAAUGGUAUCUUUAGCGAUGACACACUGAAGCGGUUGAGGGAGGCCGUCAAGGGGCUGGGUCGGGUCAUUGCCGAUAUGGGCUCACUCCUUCAUCUCGUUACUGGGUUUUAUGGCCCCGGCGCUAAGAGUCAGAAACUCGAGGAAAUUAAGAAUGCUCGCGAGACUAGCUCCUUGUUGACCGAAAGUGAGGUGCUCGGACGAGAGGAGGAGAGGGACCUAAUAGUUGAAUGGCUGAUCAAACCAGGAGAUGCUGACAUCGAUCUCUCUGCUUUUACAAUUGUUGGUAUGGGUGGGCUCGGGAAGACUACUCUUGCUCAACUAAUAUGUCAUGACAAAAGAGUGCGAGAGUACUUCGACCUGAUUAUGUGGGUUUGCGUUUCUCAGGAUUUUGAUGUAACUGUGAUAACAAGAAAGAUUUUACAAUGUAUGAGUAAUGUGAAUUUUGGUGACAAGGGUCUACAUGUACUCCAUGAAAAUCUUAAACGAAAACUAACGUCGAAGAGGUUUUUGCUCAUACUAGAUGAUGUUUGGAACGAUGAUAAAAUGGCGGAGUGGGAGAAAUUGGUUGCUCCUUUGAAAUUCGGACAGAGAGGAAGCAAGAUCCUGUUGACAACUCGGAUGGGUUCAGUUGCGGAUAAGGCGGCAAAAGUGAUGAAAUGCAAGCGGGAACCAUUAAAUCUAAAUAAGUUGGAGGAGAGCGACUGUAUGUCGCUUUUCAAUAAGCAUGCGUUCCUCGGUGUGCGCCCUCAUGAUUAUAAAAACCUGCAGUUGAUCGGCGAGCAGAUAGUGAAGAAACUUGGAGGAAGCCCAUUGGCAAUAAAGAUCAUGGGAGGAAUACUGAAUUCCUGCAUGGACUAUGAAUAUUGGAAGAAAAUCUUGGAAGAAGACAUCAUGAAAUUACAACAAGGAAAGGACGGCAUCAUGACAAUUUUGAGAUUAAGCUACGAUCACUUGCCCGCAAACUUACAACUCUGCUUUAGAUAUUGCAGUUUAUUUCCGCAGGAUCAUGUGUUUAAGAGGAAAACAUUGGUCAAUAUGUGGAUUGGUUCGGGUCUGAUUCCACAAUCUAUUUGUGGCAGGCAAAGGCAGCCAGAGGAUAUCGGAAAGGAGUAUUUAAAUCUUCUGACAAGAAAAUCAUUCUUUACAUGCAAAACCAGCGAUAAUAUGUUGAAAAUUACUAAAGAGUAUUUUAUGCACGAUCUGCUCCAUGACCUAGCACAAUCAGUUUCUCUAGGAGAAUGCAUCAGAAUAGGAGGUGACGUCGUAGGAAUUACUAUUCCACGAACAGUUCGACAUUUAUCUAUUGAAAUGGUCAAUCUUCUUUCCAUCAGAGCGAUCUCCAAUCUUAAGAACGUGCGCACUCUAAUCAUUUCUGUUAAAGAGUAUAAUAAGCAUAAUGCACUUCAUGUACCUGAAUUUAUGAAGAUUAUAAAAGGGUUUAAAAAGUUACGCUUAUUGAUCUUAGAUGUGAAUAUUAUUAACACUUAUAAACUGCUUGAUGCACUUAGUAGCUUGAUACACCUCCGCUACCUAUCUCUUUCACUGGAGGAUGUUGUGGAUGAAAGUAUUAAAUAUGAUGGCUUGACCAAUGAAAGUAUUGAAUAUGAUGGCCUGACCAACUUGGUCAAUUUGCGUUCAUUACAUGUUCCCUAUCUCGUGACAAACAAUAUUCCUUAUAUUAGCAAACUACCCUUCAUCCGCAAAUUAGAAGAUUUUUUUGUCCGAGAGGAGAGUGGCUACAAAAUCAGCGAACUAAAGAACCUAAGAGACCUUCGUCAUCUUCACAUUAGUGGACUUAGAAAUGUGAGGAGUCCUGAAGAAGCCAUUGAGGCCAAUCUAAAUGAGAAAAAACAUCUCAAAUCACUAUCAUUGGAUUGGUCCACAUACCGCUCCAAUAGCGCAGAGGCAGAUGAACAGCUCCUCGAUAACCUUUGCCCUCAUAUCAAUCUCAAGAAAAUGCACAUCGAACAAUACCAAGGUGCUAAAUCUCCAUGCUGGAUGACAGGUCUGUCGCUCAUCAAUUUGACAUCUAUCAAACUGAUGCACUGUAAACGAUGGGAGCACCUCCCGCCUCUUGGGCAGUUUUCUUCGCUCCAACUUCUUUUCUUGUGGGGACUGCAUGCAAUAAAGCAAAUGGAUUGUUCAGUCUUUGGAAGCAGUAGUGGAUGUGCCUUUCCAUCAUUGAAGCACUUAUGGUUACGGGAUAUGCCUAACUUGGAGGAGUGGAUUGGAAUUGAUGAUAGGUGCAUUUUUCCUCAACUUCAUUCUAUGUAUAUUGCUGAUUGCCCUAAUUUGAGAGGAAUUCCUACUCUGCAUUAUGGUCUAAGAGAUUUGCAUAUUUCUAAUGUCGGAUUGACCGCUUUUCCAACAAUAAAUCAAGAUUCCGCAAACAACAAUGUAAGUGCUUUAUUUUAUAAACUUUAAAUUUCUCUCCUGAGGUUUAGCUCAUUUUCACUUGCCCUCCUGUAGUUCAAAAAAAGUAUCACUUUGCCCCCUCCCAUGGUUUAGCCGCUUAUUUUCACUUUGUCAUCCCGUGGUUCAAAAAGUUACACUUUGCCUCCUUUGGUUUAGUUUAUUUUUCACUUUGCUAUCCUAUGAUUUUUUAAACAUUUUUAAUUUGCCACGCUAUUUUAUAUAGAAUUUUUUUGCUGAAAUAAAAAUUAAUCUACAGGAGGGCGAAGUAAAACUUUUUGAACCACAAGGUGGCAAGGUGAAAAUGAGUUAAAUCACACGGUAGCAAUUUGAAGUUUACUCUUAUAUCAAAACACCAAUUCGAAUUUGCAUAGCUGUGGUUGCCGAGACUUAAAUAUCUUUUACAUCUUUCCUUUCUUGCAGCAGCAAGAACAUUUUCAGGCUCUUGAGAGGUUGGUCAUCGGACAAUGUGAGAAGCUCGAAUAUUUUCCAACAGAUUUUUUUGGGAAAUUCAAUGCCAUAAAAUCCCUGUGUGUAGAGAAGUGUCCGAAGUUGACAAAACGUGGGAUCUCAGACAUCCAAGUGCCCUCUGUACUCGGUGAUCUCACAAUUGGGUCAUGUGGCGACCUUGAGGCGCCAUUGCUGUGGUCAGCGAAUUUAACCUCUCUUACUGAGUUGAAAUUAUUCGAUUGUGCAAGGAUAGCAUCCCUUCCCCCAGCACAAGUGUGUGCACGAUGGACGAUGCUUUCCCGUCUAAUGAUAAAGAACUGCAAAGAACUGUCAUCAUUUGGCGGAAUACAAGCUCUCAUAUCCCUCCGAUAUUUAGAUAUUGAAGGGUGUGACAAGCUAAUUGAAGUUGCCCUGCUGCUGCAGCCUCCGUUCCCAAACGAUGUCGGCCGAAAAAAGAAUGCUGCAGGACUGGACUGCUUUUUGAAGAAUGGCAGACUAUCAAUUGACCACCACGCGCUCCUGCUCAUGGAGCCAUUGAGAAGUCUGACCUUCGUCAGUGUUUUCUAUUUCAAUCCCGCUUCGCAACCCACCAGCUUACCUGAGGAAUGGCUACUGCAAAAUCACGCUGCCCUCGAAAAGAUAAUCAUAUCGGGCGCAUGCUCCCUUCAGUCCCUACCCCGGAGCAUGACAAAAUUGUGCUCCCUCGAGUUUUUGGAAGUGUGGAAUGCUAACCUCAUCCAGUCACUUCCAGAUCUGCCUAAUUCCCUACAUACUCUACGCCUCAACUGCUGUCACCCUGUGUUGAAGGAGCGAUGCCAAGAGAAUAUAGGCCUUGAUUGGCCCAAGAUUGCCAACAUCCGUUAUCUGAGGAUUGCAUAGCAUUAUUUGCAGAUCGUGAUGAUGAUGCAUAUUAAUUGUAAGUACACUCUACCGCCCUUCAUCUCGUAACCCUUUGUUGUAAAUAAUGCAAUUCAUUUUGGUCUUAAUUAAUGAACUACAUACAUCUCAUUCAGUCUUAACAAAGUUAUCUCAUUUCUUACGGGAUUAAUUGCUCACCUUUUUUCAGAUAAUGCAAGAGUAGCCAGGUUCCUUUUUAAUUAGCAUCCUCAAUGGAAUUUUUACAUUUUGUACUCUCAUUUUAUGAUUUGGAUACAUAAAAAGGGGAAUAAAGCACUAAUUGCCUCCUAUAAUACAUUGUGCUCGCAGGACGGAUUGGUCUUAUAUAUAAAACAAACAAUGUAAUGAAUAUAACAUAUGUUAAUUGCUAGCAUGUCAAUUGCUUUCUAAAGUUAAAUAUGACUAAUUAUGCAGUAAUUUCUCUCUAGGAGUGCAAAUAAGACUAAAGUCUCGCUGAUGAGUUAGAACAAAAGAGAAGCAUGACAAAAGCUUUUUAAGUUUGUUAAAUUUCUUGUUGCAGGGGUGAUGAUGCAUAUUGUACGUACAUUGUUAGAUGUGACUUGAAAUUGAUAAUCGACUUCAGUUCGGGGUUUCGACUUGCCGGCAGUUUCGCGGUGCGGCCAAAUUGGAAAAUAAAGUUGUGAAGGAAAAAUGAAUAUCUGUGGUGGAUAGCAGAGGGCUCGGGCCAACCCGCGGUACGGAUCGGAUCCGAAACCGUUAAGAGUUUCCUUUUCAUUUUUGCCCUAAAGGCGAUAGAUCAUGGUCGGUUGUAUCUUGAACAUUGUAUUUCCCUUUUUCGACAGUGAAGUUCUCUCCUCCCUCGCCCGUGGUUUUUCCCUGCAAAGAGGUGUUCCAUGUAAAUCUGUGUGUUCUUCUUUUUCUGCUAGUGGUUUGUUUAUUUCGUGUUCGUCAUUUUCGUUUUCCGUUUGUGCGUUUGUCAUAACAUACACUUUACCGCCCUUCACCUCGCCCAUGCUACCCUUUGUCAUUGAUGCAAUUCAUCCUGGUCUUAAUGAACAAGUUCUCAUUCAAUCCUAACAAGUUUAUCUCAUUUGUUACAGGUUUACUUCCUUUUUUUCUGGACACUGCUCUUUUUUGGAUAAUGCAAGAGCAGCCAGGUUCAUAUUUAACUUAGCAGACUCGAAAGAAUUUAUACUUUUCACCCUUAAUUUACAGUUUGGAUACUGGUCAGUUGUUACAUCUAUCUUGCUAGGCCUGAAUAUUGAAGCAAUGGAUUAGUCAUGUAAGACAAACAAUGCAAUGAUUAUUAUAAAUAUAUGUUGCCCCAGUAAUUACUUAAUUUCUACAAUUAAACAUGACUAGCUAGUUGUCCAGUAAUUCUUUCCAGGGGAAAUUAGAGAAGCGCGACAAAGCAUUCGAGUUGUUUCAAGGAAUUAAGGAUUAGGACAUCCUUCGUCUUACUGCGUGCAUGUGUUCUUCUAUUUUCUUGGUGCAGGUUUAGAGAAAGACUCCAUGUAAUAUUGCAUUUUCUUUCUUUUUAUUUUCUAUUGCCAGAUGAGUACUUGAAAAUGUUUAAGAAAGAAAUUAUCCUCUUUUGGAGCAAAUUAAGAGGUUAAGCUUAAAUGCUUCAACUCUGUUUCCCCUCACUUUUUCUGCAUUUAUCCGAAAGAUAUUUUAAUAUUGUUUGAUUCAUGUAAAAGUAGCAAACCUCAUCGCAUGGUGAGCUUGUUUUGUUUGUGUAUUAUCUGAUGAAGUUGCUGAGCUUCUUUGAAGUAGCUUAAAAACCUAAUUUGGAAACUGCUUAUUUCAAACUAUGUUUAUUUAGCAGCAUAACAAGCAUCCAGAUUAAGCUUGUGAACUUAAUUUCUGCAGUAUAAAUUAUACAUUAAGUUUUGUUAAACUUAUUUUAAGUUUCUAGUGCAGGUUUCAUCGACAUCUGGAGUAAAUUUGGUAGGCGUGCUCCGUCGAAAAGACUCGGUCAGACUCUUUGUAAAAGGAAAAUGACGGCUACACUGGAGGCGGCAUGAACUCGCAACCAUAUUCUGCAGCUACCAUAUUUUAAUCUCUUUAUCAGAUUUUUUUUAAAAAAUUUAUUUUCCUAAUGCAUUGAAGACAGAAAAACACAUUCGGAACCGAACCAUUUCGGUAAUUGUUGCUCAUGUUCAGUUCAGUCUUCAAUCUGUAUAAGUUUUGUUUUCAUUCGGAUUUUUCGAACAAUGCAUUUCAAUGUACCUUUUCUGUCUGUACUGAGUACACUCCAUUGUGCAGCUCCUUAUUUCCCCCCCUUUUUUUUAUUUACAUUCUCUUAACUUCUUUUUUUUUUCCGAGUUAUUUUAGUUUGUUCAAGUGAAAACUUUGUUAAGUUUCAUGGUUCUAUUAACUGUCGGUUGAUUCAGUUUAUUUGCUAAAAGCUGAUUAAAACCAUUGAAGUAUGGAAAAUGCUUCUUGUACACCCCAAAAUGGGGUGUACAUCUUACACCUACAAUUCUAGAGUUGAUAAAAAUUGAAUUGGUUUUUAGUAAAAUUUUAAAAAAUUGAUGUGACAAGAAUGACUUUAGGAUAGAGUGAGUGUAAAAUGUACACCCCCCUUUUAGAAUGUAUCUGUAGCAUUGCUCUUAAAGUAUUAGUUUUUUUAAAUAAUUCAAUGCUUUUUGAAAGUAAUUUUUAGUAGUUCUACGCGAAAGCAAACUGUAUGCACCGCCCAUAUAUAUGAUCCCAAAAGUUUGAUCUCAAAUAUCUAAAAAGCAUAUAUUGGAAAAAUUAUGAAUUUUGAAAAGGGUAAACUUCAAAUUGGCCACUUGCCGUUUUAGCUUUUUUUUUAUUUUGCCAUUUCAUUUCAUGGUACAAAGUGUUGCAUUUUACUGUUAUGUGGUUUACCACAUAUUUCACUUUGUCAUCAUUUAAUUAUUUUAAAAAUUUUUUACUUUGCUACUUAAUUGGAUAUAGAAUUUUUAAUAAAUAAAAAUUAAAUCAUCUGUGAUUAACCGAACGGGGGACAUCCCAACCCGCUGGAAUCGCAAUAGAUAUAUACUGUCGGGAACUACUAGAACACUAUUCGACCUCUGUUUUACUGCAGCAUGUUGGGCUCUUUGGAAAGAGCGAAAUUCGAGGAUCUUUCGCAAUCGACGAGUCACGCACGAAGAAAUGGGAAAAUCCAUUAUGGCUGAAGUACAGUUCUGGAGAUCCACCUGGGGGGGAUGAUUGAGUUUGGAUUGUGGGUUCAACUUAUGUAAUUCAUUUUUCUGUAUGUGCUGAUUUUACUCUUUGUUCCACUGUACUCCAAAAAUAGGGUAAAUCCCUGUUUAAUCAAAAAAAAAAAUUAAAUCAUCGCAGUAGAGCAAAGUGUAAUUUUUUAAACUAUAGAAUGACAAAGCAAAAAUGUGCUGUACUUCAAGGGGGCAAUUUGAAGUUACCAAAACCAACCCUCCUGUGUCGAGUAGUCUAGAGAAUUAAUGGUAAAAAAAAAAAGAGAAAAUUCUUUUUCAAUUUAUAAGAAAUCGGUGUCAAUUUUUUUUUUUUUUUUUUUUUUUUUUUUUUUUUUUCUGUACAUCGGCCAAUUAAAUACAAACGGUGCAGCCAAUAAUUAAUUCCCUUAUGCAAUUACUUCUACAUUAAUAUGAUUUCAAUGAGUAUCUUUUUAAAAUCCAAGCCCAAUUAAACUAACGUGAUGACUAUAUAUUAAAAAAAAUUAAUACAAUAUUUUGAAAAAAACAAAAAGAAAGCUUAUUACUGUAACAUCAAGUAAAAUCAAAAAUCAAUAAUUGUCUAUAAUUCACCCAUAAAGUACUAGUUAAAUUUUAGACUAAAAUAUAGAAAAUUUUUCUGUAAAUAUAUAUCAUGUCAUUUUCUUCUUCUAUUUUGAAAAAAUCUGCAUUAUUUUUCUCUCUGAAUUUUAAGUUUAUGCACUUGGGCCCCAUUGUUACUUGUUAGGUUUCGUCACUGGUCCAUCUAUUUCUUAUAAUUUAUAAUUGAAAAUACCGAAUAGAUACUUAAAAGUACUGAAAAUAUAUUAAAAAAUUAUUUUUUCCCUCCAGAAUGAGUAAGAAUAGUUUUGUCAUUUCACCCACUCCGUUAAUGUUAUAAUUCUCUGAAGACAUAUUUAAAAUUUUAAAAGAAAAAAAUAUACAAUUUUAAAAAAUAGAAAAAAUAUCUUAAUCUUAAUUUUAGUCUAAAUUUUAAUCUUAAGACCUCUAUCACGGAAGUAGCUGAUGUAAUUAUAUGCAAACAAUAAUUUCUCCCUCAGAGAGGGUUUGGAAUAGGGAUGUCAAUGGGUAUGGAUACCCGAAAUUUAUCCGAACCCGAACCCGAAUGAAACGGAUAUAUCCGAUGGAUAUGGAUAUGGAUUCGGAUAUGGAUAUCAAAAAUAGAAACCCGACAGAUAUGGAUUCGGAUAUGGAUUUUGACUGUACCCGACCCGAACCCGAACCCGACCCGAAUCCAACCCGAACCCGAAUUAUUUUGUAUUAUAUAUAAUAUAUAUACAAAUUUGAUGUUAUAUUUGAAUUUAUAUUUUAAAAAUUUAGAUUUAAUAUAAUAUAUUUUGAAAUAUUGAAAAAAAAAAAUUGUUUCGGGUUCAAAUUUUCAGGUUCGGGUUCGGGUUCAGGUUCAGGUUUCGGUCGGGUUCGGAUUUGGAUAUAGAUUUUUAAAAUUCGUCGGGUUCGGGUUCGGGUUCGGAUCUCGGGUUUGGAGUCGGAGUCGGAUUCGGGUUCGGAUUUUUAAAAAUCCAUCCCGAAUCCGACCCGUUGACAUAUCUAGUUUGGAAGUUGGAGAGGACGGAUCAAUUCCUCUGCCGACAAUAAUUGAGUUUGGUUGAUUACGACUGAAGGUAGACAAAUUUCCUGCAUAUUGACUUGUAAGUCUUCUCUGCGAAACUCUUCUUUCAUUUCCUCCCCUCUCCCAAAAAGCACUCAAGAAAUUUCUCUUCGCCAUUUUUUUUUUUUUUUGUUAUGUACUAAAUACCUGUUAAAGAUUGUGAAACAAUCCCUUGGUUUUAAAAACUUAAAUUGCUACGGAAUGAUAUUCUAUUUUAAUAAUUAUAUUCAAUACUCCUUUUUGUUACUAGACUCCAAUCCCUUUUUAUAGGCACCUCUCAAAACUGAAGUUACUAAUUAUGCAUUCAAAUUAGUCGUAUAUUUCGUAAGCACCACAAAACCAUAUAUAUAUAUAUAUAUAUAUAUAUAUAUAUAUAAAGUUGGACUGGGCUACUAUUAGUAGCAAAAUUUCAUUGUUGCUACCAGUUUUUUAGCCUUUGGAUCAACUCUUUCAUUAUUUCUAACCAUUGGAUUAAAUAUUAUAACCCAGUAGGGACCACUCAACCCUAGGGGGACUACUCAACUCUAACCGACUAAUAUCAUCCCGACCCUACAAUUUUUCAUCCAAGGGUUAAAAACUUGAUAGCAAAAAGAGCGUUUUACUAUUAAUAGUAUUCCAGCCUAAUUAUAUAUAUAUAUAUUGUCACGCCCCGGAUUACACGUUCCCCGGGCACGCCGACAAAUCCGCCGUAUACAAAGAAAUUUUCCCUGUAUACGAAGCGAUAGCUGUACCUGUAAAUCAAACACUACUACGAACAGUAGUAGAGAGCUGCUAGAGAAAACUGAAGCUAAAUAAAACAGAGUUUCAUAUACAUAGUUCAGAUCCAAAAUACAGAGCUACUCGCACUGGCGAGUUAAGUCAACUAUGUACAUAAACUCGAAACAAAACAUCUACCUGCAGUAGGGCACCUCUAGCUCAGCACGUCGGGUAGGGCUCUAACUCGCGACGCCCUUGCCUCGAUCCUGGUCCGCAGACGGUGCAGCAGCCGGAACCUGUGGCUCUGCAAAAACAUAGGUAACAACUGGGCGUGAGAACUACUGUAAAAACAAGUAGUCCUCAGUGGGUACCGCCCAAAACAACAUCGGUCACCCACUAAGUCUACAGAAGGGAGCAAGGAUAGAAGGAAAGCAGGAAGCAUACUCUACCGCUAUCAUCCACUACACUAUCAUGCUCUACACUAACCAACUGUAGGAAAUGUCAAAUCUGACCCAAUCCAAAUCGGGACUGUAAGCAUACCCGUCCCCGGGACUGUGAAUACACCCGUCCCUGCCCCGUUGCGACUAUCGGGCUCUAUCCACUCUAACUGGUCCGUGGAGAGCAAGUCCAACUGGCAUGAGCGACACCAACGCAAAAGCACAAGCCUGACUCCGGAGUGGCACUCGUGGGCGCUACCCAACCGAGUAUGCAGCGUAUCUCUGUCGAGCUCAAUCAGGCUCCAACUAGCCAAAGUCAAGUAAUCGACUCAAACUGGUCUAACAACCAACAGGUAACGUGCCCUCGGCACAAUCUGACGCCAAAAAGGCGAUACGGGUCCACCGUCAACUCUGACGGCACCCAACAGUCCGAAACGACCUGAACGACCCUGUAAAAAUCCACUCGGCGAACCAGCACGAGUGUAAAUACAUUCUAAACUACCUGGAGUACUCGUCUCGAAGAAACUGCGACAGUACAAUUUUCUAACGGCUCCUAGAGCUAAAUCAGGUAGUUAAAACUGGUGACAGGUCCAAAUCGCAGGUUUUCUCCUAAUUCAAUUUCCAAGUCCAACAUGUAUAAUUUAAAUAAUUAUAAAACAUGCUCAAAAUUCAGUUCUCACAUUCAAGCACAUAACCCAUGAAUUUGAGCUAAACUAGAUUACCAAAAUUCAGAUCUAUACAUGUCGACGAUUAUGAACUUAGGAGUCGAAACCGAUGUAACCCACCUCGCUCGCUAAUCCCUGGCAGCACGGAACACCCUCGGCUGCAACACCACCUGCUGGAUUGACCAAAAAUGCCCGAGUCUCGAAAUCGAGCGAACUCCAAACUAAAAACGCCAAAAUUCCUCAAUUCAGUCCAAAAUCCACAGCAGCUGAGUAGAAACGGGAUUCGACCGAGCUAACCUUCACCAAAAUUCACAAGUAAGGGCUUCGUGGAUUCCUCUCGCAGUCCCGAAUCCAACGAACCAAGUCUCGUCGCAAUCCGAUGCUCCUACGUCGAGAACGAGCUGAAAUACUAACAGUCGACGGUGGAUUUCAGCAAACAACAAUUUACCGAGAAGAAAUAGAAAUACUUGCUCAAAAUCCAGGGAAGUGCUGAAUUACCCACCUCGACAGCGUCGAACCUCGGUGCGACGUCAAGAACAGUGAAGACGCUCCCUCGCCCGGCCUCCUCGCAAAGCUCCGGCAACAAGCGCGCUCGGACGGCUCGCGGCGCGACGUCGGCGACGGAAUCCCCAACCGGAUUUUCAACCAACACCUAGAGAGAGAGAGGAGAAGAAGAUGGAGCAGAGCAGAGAAAUACUCUCUCUCUCUCUGCUCGGACACCUAAAAGGAGAGGGGAGGUGAGGGAGAUACAAACGAGGUGAGAUUUUACUGUUUUAGCCCUCUACCUACUCCCUUGUACCGGUACACGGGCUCCUGUACCGGUACAAGAGCCAACCCGAGAGCAGCUAAAUCUGUGCGCGUAGCUUGUACCGGUACAGAAAACCCUUGUACCGGUACAGCAAGCAUUCCCCGCGCUGGUUGUACCGGUACAGCAUAGUCUUGUACCGGUACAGCAAGCAGGAAAAUCUGCUAUUUUGCAGAUUCCUUCGCUGAAUGCUGCCCUCGCGUCGCACGGAGUCCGUUUUGCGUCUAUUUGACGCCAACGCGACUCGGACUUGUCCCGACACUCUCCAGAGCUGUCGACAAGCCCCCACAGCCAGACACCAGGGAUCUCACAUAUAUAUAUAUAUAUAUAUAUAUAGAGUCCGGCUACUAUGCUAUUAAUAGCACGAAACACUUGGUGCUACCAAGUUUUUCGCCGUUAGAUCUACCCUUUUGAUCAUUUUCAUCCGUUAGAUCAUACUAUUUAACCAACCACCCACUCAACCCUAGGGGACCCACAUCAUCCUAAUCGCACAUCUCUUAAUCCAAUGGCUAAAAACUUAGUAGCACCAAUGACUUGAUACUAUUAAUAGCAUAGUAGCCUAGUUCUAUAUAUAUAUAUAUAUAUAUAUAUAUAUAUAUAGAGAGAGAGAGAGAGAGAGAGAGUUCGGGUCCGGUGGUUUUAAAAAUAUCAAGCACUUAAUGCUCGUAAGCUGUUUACCGUUAGAUCUAUCUUUUGAUUAAUUUAGCCCGUAAAUUAUAUUAUCCGACCAACCACUCACUCAAACCUAUAAGACCGCUAUUAUCCUAAUGCUACAAAUCUUCAUCCAAAGGCCAAUCAAUUCCUCUGUCGGCAAUAAUUGAGUUUGGUUGAUUACGACUGAAGGUAGACAAAUUUUCUGGGUAUUGACUUGUGAGUCUUCUCUACGAAACUCUUCUUUCAUUUCCUCCCCUCUCCAAGAAGUAUUCAAGAAAUUACUCUUCGCCAAUUUUUUUUUUGUUAUGUACUAAAUACUUGUUAAAGAUUGUGAAACUUAUUUUUAAAGUUUAAAUUGUUACAGAAUGGUGUUCCUUUUAAUAAUUAUAUUCAACAUUCUUUCCCGCGGCUGAGCUUAUUAUUAUUAUUAUUAUUUUUUAAUAGGCUUGCAACGUGAAGUUGAAUUAAAUGAAUGAAAAUUAACUGAUGUAAGGAAGGGGCGCAGCGGCUUUGAGCAUGUCUCGCCAAAUAGGGCAGCAAUCCUUAGGACUCGGACAACCCAGGGAAGGAGCCAUGCGCCUAUAAUAUUUCUUACACUAGUUUUUUGGUUUGUUUCUUUUCUUUGGGUGAUCGUUCUAUCCUGUCUUGUUUAUGAUUCGGCAACCCCAUCUGAAAUAGGGUAUUCCCCUGUUUAAUCAAAAAAAAAAAAAUUUAAAUGAAUGAAAAUUACUAGACAAGGGCCCGGCGGGAUUCAAACUCUGAACCUUCUAUUCUGAUAUUAUAUUAAACAAUCUGAAAUGAUCAUUAUACUCUAAAAACUUAAGCUAUCGGAAAAUAGUGUUAUGUUUGGGCUCAAGGCUUUUUACGAGGUUCGAGGUGUGGAUUUGAUUUAAAUAGGGAAAAAAAAAAAUAAACGCAUGUUUGGUAGUCGAAAUAAAGGAUUACUACUUAUUCUGCGUAAGAAUUUUCUAGUGUAAUUGUAAAAAAAGAAUUUGAUUUUUUCUCCUUGAAAUAUCCUAAUAUUCGUGAUUUGGAUAGUAUAAUCUAUAUUUCACCUACGAGGUGAUUUAUUUAUUCGAGAAACAACUUGAAUGCUAAGUGUACGUAAUAUCUAAUUUAGACGUUUGAUCACACUUUUCAUCCACCAAAUAUAUAAACUUCUCAAAUAUAUAACGAAAAUAUAUCGAACAAAACAUUCAUGUAUCCAGACAUGACCAAAUAGAACAAAGGUGUAAAAGGAACUAGAAGAAAAGUGUGCGGAGAAAUUGUUCUAUAUUUUCCAAUAAGACCGCAAAAUUUAUAUAUGAUAAUUUUUUACAAAUAAAAAUCAAAUAUUUUUUCAUCACAUAUUCUUGCCGUGGUAUCACUCAAUUUCAGUGAAGUCUAAAAUAUCUACAAAGGUGCGGUGGAUAACAAAGAAAUAUUUAAACAUGCAUGUCUUUCAAAACUUUGCUACUUUAUUUGUGCAGCUUGCAUUAUAUUUCCUCCCCUCUUCUAAGAAGCAUACAAGAAAUUACUCUUUUUGGAUCUUUCUUUUGACUCCUGCUAUUAUUGCUAGCUACUCGACGGUACAAAGCAAUUCAAAUUAGAUAAAAUUUAAAUAAAAAAUUAUAUUUAUCAUCAGGAGCAAUAUUAGUUCUUCUAAUUUAAACUUUAAGUCAUUUAUUAUUAUUUUUUUCAUUUAUUUUGAGACUACUCAGUCACUAGACAAAUAAAGUCAAAAAAUUAUAAAAUUUGAUUUCUAGAUAAUUUCAAUAAGAGAUAACUUCAAAAAACCCCCCCUGUGGUUUUGCAUUUUCUCACUUUAGUACCAUGUGGUUUAAAGUGUAUCAAUUUGUCCCCCUGUAGUUUUAUUAUCAAUUUUAUUAUUAUUUUUUCUUAAAUCAGUGACAAAGUUAAAAAUUAAAGGAUACUAAAGUAAAUAUUCGAUAAAUCUAUGUGGGUAUCUGAAGUAUUUUUGUAUAUAGUUUAACGAAAUAUUAAGAAAAAAGCUGUCGAAAAGAUAAAAACAAAACCACAAGGGGGCAAAAAAAAAUUUAAAAGCAUGUAGGUCUCUGUGCUUUCAAAAGCAUAAUAGCCUUGCUCGAUAUAAUAAAACUCUUUGAGGAAAGAAACAUUACAAUAUAACAAAUAAAAAUAAUACUAAAAUACAUUGCAGUAGAGUGCAAUUAAGCCUUGUUUUUACUAAAAUACAGUGCAGUACAGUACAGUAGAGUGGUGAUCUUUGGCACUUCUUUUCUGCAAGUUCCUAAUUAAAGCAUUCCCUUUUCUUCUUUUUUUUUGGAUUCCUUGUUCUCUGUUUUUUUGUUUGGAUGUGAAGGUUUCCAAAUGGUUGAUUGAUCAACUUCUUGACUAGUUUUAUAGAGCGAGUCUUCCAAGCAUCUUUAUUUCUUUGAAAGUAAAGUGGGCAUAUUUAUGGGGCCCACUUUACUUAAUAAAGUUUUCAACUAUUAAACGUUAUCAAGAAUAUCCCACAGCAAUUUGCCCCACCAAUAUGAUAAGAUUGAGUUGAUUUAGGGGGUGUGUGGUUGGUUUCUGAAAAAGGGUAAUUGUUUUUUUUUUUUUUUGUUUUUAAUUUCCUAAAAAGCAGCUUUUCACCUUAAUUUCUUUUCUUGGGGGAUCAAAUUAAUAAAACAGGCCAUACUCUAUUUAUUGCUUUGCCAUGCAAAAGUCUCCACGAUUCCAUUCUCAAGUUUCUCCGAAACUCAUUCCUCCUCAAUCCUUUCUUCUUUGCAAGCUGAACCUCUCUUCUCUCAUUCUCCAAUUUCUGCACUCCAGGAUCGAGUUUCAUCAAUUUGCCUGAGUAGCGGUGAAGUCGAUCAUGGCUCUAACCUUCAUAGCCGAAUCUGCGGCGCCGGCGAUCAUCGAGAAUCUUGUUAGCACAUGCUCAUCCUACCUCGUGGCGUGCCCGGCGCCCUGAGGUGUACCUGUUAUGCUUAAAGUCGGCAUAUUUUGAUUUACGGGGUGGGGUAAGUGUUUGAUUAAUUCUGAAAAAAUAUUUUUGAAAAUAAUUUCCCAGCUGAAUUUAUUAUUAUUAUUUUUUUAGCUUGUUUAGUUUCAAAAUUUUAUCCGAGAGUUGAUUUAGGGGGUGUGUGGUUUCAAAUUUUUUUAAACAAAAUAAAAAUAAAAAUUGGGGAAUCAAAUUAAACACCCACUUAAUUGGUGGGGGGCUUAAUUAAUUUUGUUGUCGAAUAAUUAAAGCAGCCAUACUCUAUUUGUUAGUGGAUGUCCUCCACGUUGGAUGUCAGCAUGCAAGAACUUAAUUAUUCCUCCUAAUUAAUCUUUCUUCGUUGCAAGCUCAACCUCUCUUAAUUUCCUCUUUCUCCAACGUUUUUCACUGCAGGAGCUUGAUCAAUUGCCCGAGUAGUGGUGAAGUAGCCAGCUAGUAGUCAAAUCGGCUAAAUUACAUGGUUACCUUCUGAACUUUUGGUGGAGUUUCACUUUACCUCCUAAACUCAUAAAAUGAACAUUUAAUAUUCUAAAUUCUAAAUAUUUUAUUCUUAUUAUUCUUUUCGUCAGUUUUUUAUUAAUAGAACUUGACGGUAAACUGAUGGAAUGGAUAACAUGAAUUAAAUAUUAAAAUUUAGAAUGUUAGAUUCCAUUUUAGGAGUUUGGAGUUAAAGUGAAUUUCCGCCAAAAGUUCUGAAGGGUAACAAUGUAAUUUAUUCUAUAUAUGUAUACACUAUUAUUUUUUAUGGAUGUUACUAAACUAUUUUUUUAUGCUAAUCUCCAUAUUACUGUUAAUAAUUCUAUUAUUUUAGACAAAAUUGAACAACUUAUUCAGGAAUAUUGGUUGAAAAAUAGGGAAAAAAAAUUGUAAAAUGAAUCUUCCUAAUUGACUCAUUGAAAGCUUUUAUCAAGUUAUUUUUAAUCCUUUUCAUUAUUUUUAUUUUUUUUGUUAUUUUUUCUGUCAAAAUGAGUUGAAUAUAAUUACUCUGUCACUUUUAUCCAGUAUUUUAUAGCAUCUUUCAUACAAAUUAUAAGUGGAGAAAUGAUUCGAUACUUUAUUAUUAAAAAAUAAAAUAGAUCUUAGCCGUUGAUUAAUAGAGGGUAAAGAUGUAAUUUUAAUAUUUAGCAAGUAAAUGGAUUACAUCAUUCGAGGUUAUUUCGGUAAUUAAACUAGACAACAUUUAAAGAAACUUUUAAUUGAUAUCCUAAAUUUAUACAUUAAUUUGCACUAAUUUAGAAAAUUGAUUGAUUAUCCUAAUUUAGGCAUUAAUUAAGCAUUAAUUUACGAAUUUAGUUUAGAAAUUUACAAAUUUAGUUUAAACAUAAAAAUUAAAAAGAUUAGGAUUACUAUUCAGAAAAAAAAAAUGGUUAGAAAUUUGAAUUCGAACCCGAUUAAUAAUCACAAUAUCAAUUUCCGAACUCGACGGAUUUCAAAAAUUCAUAUCGAAACCCAAAACUAACCAGUUUUUCGAAAUCCAAAACCAAAUCCAAACCGGAAGACGGGAACCCGAAAUAAUUUUUUUUUACCAUAUUUCAAAAUAUUUUAUAUUAUAUUUAAAAUUUUAAAAUAUAAAUUUGAAUAUAAUAUUAAGCUUUAUAUAUGAUUCGGGUUGGAUUCAAGAUGGACAUAGAAAAAAUUCAUAGUUGGUUCACAAAAUAAUUUCAUGUUCUUGUUGUCGAAUAAUUUAAAAAUUUCUUAUAUGAAAUGCCAAAUAUAAGAGGAAAGAUAGAGAGAGAAAAAAGAAAUAAAGAGAGAAUAAAAAUUUUAAUAAUAUACUAGAGAUAAAAUGACUAAAUUGCUCAUAUAUUAAAAGACAAAAAUACUCUUUUUUGAGAUACCUGGUGACCGGUAUCUCUCCUAAAAUGACCUGCUAUUGCAGGUCACAAUUUUAAGAAAAUUAAAUUUAAACCGUUGAACGGGAGUGAAUGAACAGUAACGAAAAAAAAAUAUAAAAGAAUUACUCUUAUUAGUUUAUUACUAAUAGUGUAAGCAGACUGGAAAAAAAAAAAAAGAAUAGUUGAUUUGUGCCUAAAAAAGAAAUAGUAUAAUGUAAAAAGCGAAAAAGAAAAAAUGAAAAAUACAGUAUCUUACAUUAUAAUUAAGUUAAGUAAAAAAAUUUAAGCUUUGAUUUACAAAAGAGUUUUUUUUUUUUUAAAAAAAUAGCAUACUAGCUGCUUCGUUUAUUUUAAUUAAAAAUAAAUUUAACUAAAAAUAUAAAUUAAUUGAAAUGAUUCAAAUUUGGGAACUUAGAUAUUAACAACCAAAAUCAUUAGGAAAGAGUUAAUUAAAGUUCAGAGGCUCUUUGUACAGUUUCCGGUCCCUUGUGUGAUCUAUAACCCUCUAUUAUUGGCUAUGCAGACAAUAAUUUCUCCCUCGGAGAGAGUGUGAAGUGGAGUGGGGCCGGGCAGAUUCCCUCUGUCUGGCAGUAAUUGAGUUUAAUUGGUUGGCUGUGACAGAAGGCAGACAAAUUUGACCGGUAAGUCUUCUCUGUGAAACACUUCCAUUUCAUUUCCUCCCCUCUUUCCGAGAAGCAUGCAAAGAAAUUACUCCUCCCCAGUUUUUUUUUUUUUUUUUUCUUUUCUUUUUUUGGGUAUGUCCUAGCUGUAUGCUUGUUAGAAAUUAAUUUGAAACAAACUGCUUCUCUCAAGAAGCUUAUUUGCUCGCUACUGUUACUGAAUUAAAGUGGGCAUAUUUUGAUUUAGUGUUUGAUUUCUGAAAAAAUUAUUUUUGAAAAUAAUUUUCUAGCUAAAUUUAUUAUUAUUAUUUUAUUUAGCUUGUUUUGUUUCUAAAUUUUAUCCGAAAAUUGUCUUCCCUAUUCAAAAAAUAAAAAUUAUACUUUUUUUUUUCCCGUAAAACACUGGUUUUCAAUUUUUUUUUUGAAAAAAAAUUGGGGAAUCGAAACACCCACUUAAUUAAUGGGGGGCUUUUGUUGUCAAAUAAAGCAGCCAUGUGGCAAAUAAUAAAGAAGUAUGGAAACAGAAGUAUGUAAACACCAUGUGGCAAUAAUAAUUUCUCCCUCUGUCGUCAUUUGGCAAUAAUUUCUGAAUGCUUUCACACAAGGAUUUAAGUGCCGUGGCACAUGGUCGUGCCGGAAACUUGCCGUGCCGAGCCGUACCGAUGCGUGCCGGUCAAAAAAAUUCAUGUGUGCCGAUACAUAAUAGCAUGAAAUAUUUAUUUUCUUUAGCAACAAAAUAUUCUAAUUAUUUAUUAUGUCUUUUUAUCACAUCUUUUGAAUUUUAUUGAGGAAAUUACUUACUAAUUUAAAGAAUAGAGGGUUUUGAGCUGUGCCAUUGGUACAGGGUCUGUAUCGUGCCGGUAUCUUGUUGGCACGAUACGGCACGGUAGAUACGGCCCGUGCCGAUGGGCACUUAUAACUUUGCUUUCACAUGUAAUGUCUUCUAACCAAAACUUGCACCUUGCAUUACAUUUCCUCCCCUCUUCCGAGAAGAAUGCAAGAAAGUACUACUCUUCGCGCGUGGAUCUUUCUUUGAUGCCUGCGCGCGAUUGUAUCUAUCUAUCUACUCAGCUAAUAAUUGUUUCGGCAUCUCUCUUUCCUCAUCCUCUAAUUUUCUGCAUUCUAGGACCGAGUUUUCCAUCAAUUGCCUGAGUAGUGGUGAAGCCAAUCAUGGCUCUAACUUUCAUAGCCGGAGUGGUGGCAACGGCGAUCAUCGAGAAGCUCGUUGAUACAUGCUUUUCCUACAUCAAAGCUUACCCGGGGCUACGAGGCGUGCGGGACGAGCUGGAAAGGCUGCAGCUGGCCCUUCCGCAGAUCCAGACAGUCUUGACUGCCGUAGAGGAGGCGGCGUCUAUUGCAGAGCAGAACGAGGCGCUGGAUGCUUGGUUGUGGCAGCUCAGAGAUGCUGUGGAGAACGCGGAGGACGUGCUCGACGAGCUGGAGUACUACGAGCUGAAGAAGACUAUAAAAGAUCGAGAUGACAAGGUGCGUGGCAUUCUCUAUAAAUGCAAGAAAAAGUUUGACCGUUUUGUUGAUCGUAAAUUUAGCAAUGACACACUGAAGCGGUUGAGGGAGGCCGUUAAGGGGUUAGAUAUGGUUGUUGCCGGCAUGGGGCCACUAGUUCAACUUGUUACUGGGUUAUACGGUCCUAGUGUUAAGUGUCAAAAGCUCGAGGAAAUCAAGAAUGCUCGCGAGACUAGCUCCUUGGUAAUCAAAAGUGAGGUGCUCGGACGAGACAAGGAGACGGGCCUGAUAGUCGAAUGGCUGAUCAACCCGGGAGAUGCUGAUGUUGAUGUCUCCGCUUUUACAAUUGUUGGUAUGGGUGGGCUUGGGAAGACUACCCUUGCUCAACUAAUCUAUCAAGACGAAAGGGUGCGAGAGUACUUCGACCCCAUUAUGUGGGUUUGCAUUUCUCAGGAUUUCGAUGUAACUGUGAUAACAAGAAAGAUUGUAGAAUGUGUAAGUAGUGGGAGUUUUGGCGACAAGAGUCUACAUGCGCUCCAUGAGAAUCUUAAACACAAACUAACGUCGAAGAGGUUUUUACUCAUACUGGAUGAUGUUUGGAACGAUGAUAAAAUGACGGAGUGGGAGAAAUUGGUUGCUCCUUUGAAAUUCGAACAGAGAGGAAGCAAGAUCCUGUUGACAACUCGAAUGGGUUCAGUUGCGGAUAUGGCGGCAAAAGUGCUGAAAUGCAAGCGAGAGUCAUUAAAUCUAAAUGAGUUGGAGGAGAACGACUAUAUGUUGCUUUUCAAUAAGCAUGCAUUCCUCGGUGUGAACCCUGAUGACUAUAAAAACUUGCAACCGAUUGGUGAACGUAUAGCGAAGAAACUUGGAGGAUGCCCACUGGCAAUAAAGGUCAUGGGAGGAUUGCUGAACUCCUGCAUGGACUAUAAAUAUUGGAAGAAAAUCUUGGAAGAAGACAUCAUGAAAUUACAACAUGGAAAUGACAGCAUUAUGACAAUUUUGAGAUUAAGCUACGAUCACUUACCCACAAACUUACAACUCUGCUUUAGAUAUUGUAGUUUAUUUCCACAGGAUCAUAUGUUUAAGAGGAAAAAGUUGGUCAAUAUGUGGAUUGGUUCAGAUCUGAUUCCGCAAUCUAUUUGUGGCAGGCAAAGGCCAGAGGAUAUCGGAAAUGAGUAUUUAAAUCUUCUGGCAAAAAAAUCAUUCUUUACUUGCAAAACCAGUGCUAAUGGGUUGAAAAUUACUAAAGAGUAUUUUAUGCACGAUCUGCUGCAUGACCUAGCACAAUCAGUUUCUCUAGGAGAAUGCAUCAGAGUAGGAGGUGACGUUGCAAGAAUUACUAUUCCACGGACAGUUCGACAUUUAUCUGUUGAAAUGGUCAAUUUUCUUUCCAUCAGAGAGAUCUCCAAUCUUAAGAACGUGCGCACUCUUGUCAUUUCUGUGAGAGAGGACAAUACCCAUAAUGCAGAUCAUGCACUUGAAUUUAUUGAGGUUAUAAAAGGGUUUAAAAAGUUACGCUUAUUGAUCUUAGAUGUGAUGUUUGACCCUUAUAAACUGCCCGAUGCACUUAGUAGCUUGAUACACCUCCGCUACCUAUCUCUUUCACUAUGGAAAGUUAUGAAUGAAAGUAUUGAAUAUGAUGGCUUGACCAACUUGGUCAAUUUGCGUUCAUUAGAUGUUUUCGAUGAUGUGAUACAAAAAAUUCCUUAUAUUAGCAAAUUACCCUUCAUCCACGAAUUACAAAAUUUUGUUGUCCGAGAGGAGAGUGGUUACAAAAUUGGUGAACUAGAGAACCUCAGGGACCUUCGUCACCUGUGUAUUAGGGAACUUGAAAAUGUGAGGACUUCUCAAGAAGCCAUUGAGGCCAAGUUGAAUCAGAAAAAAUAUCUCAAAUCAUUGUCAUUGCAAUGGUCCGCAGGCCGCUUCAAUAGUGCAGAGGCAGAUGAACAGCUCCUCGAUAACCUCUGCCCUCAUAUCAAUCUCAAGAAAAUGUGCAUCGAACAAUACCAAGGUGCUAAAUCUCCAAGUUGGAUGACAAAUCUGUCUCUUGUCAAUUUGACAUCCAUCAAACUGAUUGAUUGUAAAGGAUGGAAGCACCUUCCACCUCUUGGGCAGUUUACUUCGCUGCAAUCUCUACACUUGAGGGGACUGCAUGCAAUAAAGCAAAUAGAUUGUUCAUUCAUCAGAAGCAGCAGUGCAUGUGACUUUCAAUCGUUGAAGUUCUUACAGUUACGAGACAUGCCUAACUUGGACGAGUGGAUUGGAGUAGAUGAUGGGUGCAUGUUUCCUCAACUUCUUUCUAUGAAUAUUAUUGACUGCCCUAAUUUGAGGGAAAUUCCUACUCUGCCGUAUAGUCUAAGUCGAUUGCAAAUUUCAAAUGUCGGAUUGACUGCUCUUCCAACAAUAAAUCAGAAUUACACGGAAAACAAUGUAAGUGCUUUAUUUUAUAAACUUCAAAUUUCUCCUGAGGUUUAGCUCAUUUUCAUUUACCCCCCCUGUAGUUCAAAAUGUAUCACUUUGCCCCUUCCCCCCCUGUGUUUUUGCCUAUUUUUUACUUUUGUCUAUCUCAUGGUUUGAAAAGUUACACUUUGCCUCCUUUGGUUUAGCUCAUUUUUUGCUUUGCUCUCCUGUGAUUUUUUUAAAAAAUAUUUUUAAUUUGCCUUCUAUUUCAUAUAGAAUUUUUUUGAUGAAAUAAAAAUUAAGCCACUGGACGGCAAAGUAAAACUUUUUGAACCGCAAGGUGGCAAGGUGAAAAUGAGUUUAAUUAACCACACGGGGUGCAAUUUGAAGUUGAGCAAUGCUUCAAUACUUUGUUGUAAUCUUAGCCGUUUAUUUUUAAUCAAUGAAGGGUUAAGAUUUAUGCAUAAAAAAAGAUGACCUACUAUUGCACAAGAAGUACCGGUCACCAGGUAUGUGAUUUAGGGGUGUUUUUGGAAAAAAAAAAAAGAGCUAAUAUUAAAAAAUUAAAUAACUAAUAUUGGAAAGUUUUGCAUACUACCCUUAAAUCAUGGAGAGAAUAAAUUUUUAAUUAAAUUAUCCAUUUUUAAAGCCGAUUUUAAUAAUAAUUUAUGAUCGCAUUUGAGUCAUAAAUUUAGUAAUUUAUAAUUUAAAAUUAAUUUUCAAACAUCGAAACUUUAUGUUUAAAUAGUUAACAAAAUUUAUUUUUUAAGUAUAAUAUAAAUUAAAUCUAAAUUUAUAAUUUAAAUUUGAUCAAUAUUUUUGAAAUUUAAUGCUGUAUUUCAAUAUUGAAUUAACAGUUUCAACUUACUUUAAAAUGUAGAAAUCUUUUAUUUACAUAAAUAAUAAAAGUUUAUAAAUACACUAUAACUUAAAUUACAAUUUUAAAGAUAGUAACAUUAAUUUUUGAACUUUCAUGUUAGUUUAAUAUUGAAUUGAUAAUUUGAAUUGAAAUGUUUACUCGUUUAAAUAUAAAUUUUUCUUUCUAAAAUUUAAAUUUAAUUUAUACAAUUAUAAAUACAAAGUUUAAACUCAAGUUAAAUUUUAAAUUCGAAUUUAUAAAGAUUUAUCACUUAUGAAAUUAACCAUUAUCUAAGUUGGUAAGUAACAAAAUUAAAUUAGGAAAUGAAGAUUUGUUGGAUAUUAUCAAAUUUGGUAAUUAGAUAAUGCAUACUUUCAAAUAUUAUCUUUAUGAUUGAUUGGUAACAUGUUGAGCAGGUUACCAUUGUGUAAAAGUCAAUCUUAACCGCAAAAAUUGAAUGAUCGGAUUUAAAUUGGCCGGUGUAUAGAAGUAUUUCUGUAUAUUAAAACACCAAUUAAUUCGUAUUUGCACGGCUAUGAUUGCCCGGACUUAAAUAUGUUUUACAUCUCUUUUCUUUCUUGCAGCGGCAAGAACAGGAUCUUGAAUAUGUUCCAACAUGUGGCGAUCUUGACGUGCCAUUGCUGUGGUCAGCAGAUUUAACCUCUCUUACUGAGUUGAAAUUAUUCGAUUGUGCAAGGAUAGCAUCCCUUCCCCCAGCACAAGUGUGUGCACGAUGGACGAUGCUUUCCCGUCUAAUGAUAAAGAACUGCGAAGGACUGUCAUCAUUUGGCGGAAUACAAGCUCUUGUAUCCCUCAGUUAUUUAGAAAUCAAAGGGUGUGACAAGCUAAUUGAAGUUGCCCUGCUGCUGCAGCCUCCGUUCCCAAACGAUGUCCGCCAAAACAAGAAUGCAGCAAUGGACUGCUUUUUGAAGAAUGGCGAACUAUCAAUUGACCACCCCGCCCUCCUGCUCGUGGAGCCAUUGAGAAGUCUCUCCUCCAUCAACGUGUUGACUAUCUCUGAUGCUUCACAACUCACCAGCUUACCUGAGGAAUGGCUACUGCAAAAUCACGUUGCCCUCAAAACUUUACGCAUAUCGAAUGCAAUCUCCCUCCAGUCCCUACCCCAGAGCAUGACAAAACUGUGCUCCCUAGAGCAUUUGUAUGUAUAUAUUGCUAAGCUCAUCCGGUCACUUCCAGAUCUGCCUACUUCACUGUGUACUCUACUCAUCUAUGGGUGUCACCCCGUGUUGAAGGAGCGAUGCCAAGAGAAUAUAGGCCUUGAUUGGCCCAAGAUUGCCAACAUCCCUGAUGUGUGGAUUGAACAGGCAGUUGCAGAGCAACGAUGAUGCAUAUUGUACGUUUACUUUACCACCCUUCAUCUCGCCCCUGCUAUAUACUCUCUGCGAUUUACGCAAUUCGUUUCGAUUUUAAUGAGCUACAACAUCUCGUUCCAUCUUAAUCAACAACUGUUAUCUCAUUUGUUUCAGGAUUGAUUAAUUACCUUCUUUUCCCGAAUAAUGCAACAGCAGUCAGGUUCGACUUUAAUUAGCAUCCUCCAUUAGGAAUUUUUUAUAUUUUUAAUUUUUACCCUUAUACUUUAUGGUUUGGAUACAUAAUAAUGGAAUUAAUAUAGCGCCAAUUAAUUGCGCCCUGUGAUUAAUACAUGAUGUUACGCUCGCUGGACGGAUUGGUCUUGUAAAACAAGCAAUGUAAUGAAUAAUAUAACACUAGUGAAGAGGCUCGCGCUUUGCAGCGGAUAAAAACCGUAGUAGUAAUUAAUAAUAAUAAAAUAUUAAAUAUUUUUUUGUGUAUCUCACUUGGUACAUCUACCGAAAGUCUCUCACUGUAGGCGAUAAAUAUCAACCUGACAAUGAAGAAAGAGAGUAAAAUAACUCAUUCUAAAUAAAAUUAAAUAGGGGAGAUGAAGAGACGUAUGUUGAGAGAGAGAGAAUAAAAUGGAAGAGAUGAGAAGACGUAUGUUGAGAGAGAGAGAGUAAAAUGGUUCAUUCUAAAUAAAAAUUGAAUAGGAUAUAUGAAGAAACGUAUUUUGAGAGAGAGAGAGUAAAAUGUCUUAUUCUAAAUAAAAGUUAAAUAGGAGAGAUGAAGAUAGUAUGUUGAAAGAGAGAAUAAAAUGGUUCAUUCAAAAUAAAAAAAAUUUCAAAAUUAAGAGAUUAUGACACAUCAGCUUAAAACAUUGGGGAUUCAUAAAGAGUAAUAGAUAUGUUAAUUGCUAGUAUAUCGAUUGCUUUCUAGAGUUAAAAACUAUGACUAAUUGUCCAGUGAUGAGUUAGAACAUAUAAAAGAGACGCACGCGCGCGCGACAAAAGCUUUCCGAGUUAUUUUAAUUUCUUGGUGCAGGACUGCAGUAACGUGAUAACACUAGUCCUAUAUGUAUUUCACUCAAUUUGUUCAAGAAUAUAAAACGAGACUAGUAAAGUUUAACUGCUUAUGUUCUAUUUCGGUAGUGCGGGAACAUGUAUUGAUUAGGACUCCAUAUAUAUUGCCGCUGAAUCUAGUUUUGCUUAUCUGGGAUAAAACAUGAUUACAAUCAUUCUACGUAUUCUCUCUUCUUUUUAGUUUUCUGGUGCAUGGGUGAAAAAGGCUUGCAUUGUAGUCUAUCGACUUCAUUGUAGGAGCACAACAUGGCUAAAGCCUUGCCGCUUUUGUUCUUCUAUUUAAUUAGUACUGGACUCAUAUAUGACUCCCAAUUCAUGGUCAUGUUCUAUCAAUUUAUUCAUAAGAUUAUGAGAAAAUUAAAGACUAAUUUGUUACUUUAUGCUUGUGUUCUUCAGUUUUAUUGGUGCAGGAUCAGAGUAAGAUUCCUUGCUUCUUUCGUGUGCGUGCGUGUAUAGUAGCCAAACUAAUGUAAAAUCUUUAAGAAAUAAAUUGCCCUCUUUUGCAGCAGGGAGGUUAAAUGCUUCAAUUUUGUUUCUCCUUACUUUAUAUUCGUAUAUACCAAAGGUAAUUUUGUGUUUGAAUAUUCCUGUACAAAUAGGAAAAAUCUUAUAGCCUGGUCAUAGGCUUGUUUUGUCUUGUGUAUUAUCCGGUGAAGCUGUUAAACAUUGCUUUAAAAUGUGUUUCAAAUUAUUACUGGUAUUUUAGCAGUACAGCAAGCACCCAGAUUAAACUCGUGAACUCAAUCGCAGCAGUAUAAAUCACGCUUUUAAAUUUUGUUUAACUUUUUCUUAGUGUUUAGUGCAGGCUCUCAUGGUAGAUUCUCUCUGGAGAGAAUUCCGUCGACUCGCCAUAAGAGUAAAAUGAGGGCUAUGCUGCAGCAGGCAUCAACAUGCAACCACAUCCUGCAAUAUCUUAAAUUUACUUUCUUUACAUUUUUUAAACGAGCUUUAGAUUCAUUUUGCAUCGAUUGCACAAAACAACUGAAGCAUUACUGCGUAUGUUCUAUGUUCGGUGGUGCGAGAACGAAUUAAAGACUCUUAUCGAUUUCUCUGUAUAUAGGAAUGUAACAAGACCAAAGUAGACUACUGCCUAUGUAUUUGUAUUUUCUUUUUGUUCUCGGUGGUGUAUGAAUUAAAAACGCUCCUCUUAUUAUAGCCUAUCGAUUUCGUCCUUGCUACAAAGGAUGGUUAAAGUUGUACUGCUUUGUUUGCAUUCUCCAAUUUUUCUUGGUGAAGGAUCGGAAUGAGACUACUACAGGUAGUCUAUUUAUAUAUGCAUAAUGUGAUUAGUGUCUUUAAUGUAGCUUAAUUUUACUUGUUAUUUCGUUUUACUGGUAUCACGAAUAUUUGGGUGUAAAUACGGAUAAUUACAUUAUAUAUUUUGGAGAAUAAGAUUUGGAGAUGUAUUCUUAAUGAGAGCAAUGCUUCAAUACACCAUAAGUAUAAAAAUUAAGCUCUUAAUUAGUAAAGGGUAUAGUUGGAAUUUACAUAAAGUAACCUAUUGAAUAGGUUACCGAUUUGAAUUAAGUUAAUAUGACAAUAUUGAAAAAAAAUUAGAAGUAUAUACUAAAUUUGUCAGUAUUUUUUAUUUAGUUUUGUUACUUACCAAAUUAGAUAAUGCCCAAUUUGUUAAGUAUCCAACUCAAAAAAAUAUUGAAUAUAAAUUUAAGUUUUGAAGUUGGUAUUGUAAUGUAAAAUUUUAAUUUCAAAAUUUAUAUUAAACUUUUAAAUUUUGAACCUAAUUGAACUUUUAAUCUUAAAGCCAAACUUUAAUUUUUGAUUUAAAUUAAAAUUUUGAAUUUGAACUGAAAGUUUUAUUUUAAAUUUGUGUUUUAUAUUUAAAAAUUGAAUUUGAUUUAUAAUUAAGUUUGUUAUGUUGCUUUGUAUUUAAAUUUAUAAUUUAGUUGUAAUUUGAAUUCCAACUAUUGUUGUAGGUAUUUGAGAAGGUUAUAGUAUUUUUUAGUUGGAUAAAACCGAUUUUAUAGACCAAAAUAUUCUUCUAUGACCAAAAUACCCUUUAAAUAGGUACCGGGUGAAAGGUACUUAUGCCUAAAUGGUAAGUCGCCUCUAGAAUUAUAUUACAUCUCGACCAUCUAUGUAAAAAAAUAAAUGGUCAAGAUUUAUAUAAAAUUUAGAUGGUGUAUUGAAGUAUUACUCAUUUUUAAUUAGCGAAGCGUGCGAAGGCCAGAGUAAUAAUCUGUGUGAUGGCAAGAUAGCAAAUCCCAUAGCUUGAUGAGCUUUUUUUUUUUAUUUUUUGUUUUUCUUUUCACUGUACUCUGAUGAAGUUGUUGAGCUUGUUUGAAGUAGACAAAGUAUCCCAGGGCUGAAGUUGUGAAUUUAAUUUCAGUGGCAUAAAUUAUACUUCAAAUUUUGUUAAACUUCUUAAGUUUUUAUUGAGGGCUGUACAUCGAUUUUGAGAGUAAAUUUGGUCGGUCCGGCCGACUCAUUGUAAAAGGGAAAAAAGGGCUGCUGUACUUCAGCAGGCAUCAACUUGCGAUCACAUCCUGCAGCUAUAUAUCUACUUUUAUUCUUUAUAGUUUUCAAAAAGAAAUUAAAUUUCUUUAUGCAUUGAAGACGAAAAAACAAAGCUCAUAGGCGGGGAUGUAAGAAGGUAAAUUUGUCAUCUACUUAAAAGACACUAAAUAAUUCGCCACUUUAUUAAGGUGACUAAUAAAUCUUAAACUCUACCUACUAGAACCGGCGUUACUCCGGCGAGGUAUGAGGGUUAGAUUCCUAAAUAAUGUUUGUAGGGGUUAGUUCCCAAAUUUUUUUGCUUAAUUAAGAUGUGUAACGCAUGAUGAUUAUUAUUAUUAUUUUUUAUUUUUUUAUUUUUUCAUGAGCAAUGCUAGCUCUACAAUCCUUUAUGGCUUGUAGUUGUAACCUUACAAUUUCCACCGUUUUAUGUCUACUUUUUUCAAGCUUGUCUUUUCCCUUUUUUUUUUUAAAGAAAAGAACCGAAAAAGGUGAAGUAAAACCCUUGCUUUUUGGAUUGGAAAUGGUAAAGAUUCAAACCUUAAAAAUGUUGCAGACUUAGCAUUUCUUUUUUUUUUUAUUUGAUUUAUACCCUCCAACUUACAAAUCGUUUAAUUUAGGUCCUUGCAUUAGGCAAUUUUAAACGGUUAGAAUCAAAAGCCCACGAGGAAUGCACGUGAUCAAAAAUUGCUCUAGUCAAAAAGAAGAAAGCAGGGUUGCUCUAUUUUUGCUUAAUUUUCAAAUUUGUUACGAAUCGUAUGACUGCUACAACCUUACUACCCCUUCAUUUUUAUCAAGAAUUUUUUUUUUUUUUUUUUUUUUUUAGAGAUAGGUAGCACGCUACCCGCUUUGUUUAUUUCAUUUAGAAAUAAACUCAACUGGAAAUGCGAAUCAACUAGGAUUCGAACUUGGGUCUCGGGUAUCAACCAUCAAACCCUUUGCCACUUGCCCUAGGAAUGUUACCCACUUUAUUUUUAUCAAGAAUUGCUUUGGUUCUAUUUGCAUGUACAUCCCUCUUGCCUCUUAGUGUUUCACUCUAACAAAAUUCCCAACAUUACCAAUGGAAGAACGUAAAUCAAACAGUUUGUAAGUUGACGGAUUUAACUCAAAUUAAAAAAAUAUUAGGGAUUUAUUUCAAAAUAGGUUGACAUUCAGGGCGUGUCUAUCCAUUAUUCCAUUAUAACAUUUUUAUUUUUAUUAAUCAAGAUUACAUAAAAGUUAUCCACCGUCUCUGAAGCAAGUGGCAAAGCGCUUACUGGUUGGUACCCGAGAUCCCAAGUUUGAAUCAUAGUUGAUUCACAUUUCUAGUUGAGUUUAUUUUUAAAUGAAAUAGACGAAGCUAGUGGCGUGCUACCUAUUUCUCAAAAAAAAGAAAAAAAAGAUUUCUCAAAAGUUAUUAAAAAAAAAGCACUAAUCUAUACUUAUGUAUAAAUUCUCAUGUUUAAAUUCUAUGUGGAUGUAACUCUUUAAUUUGAGGGAGGUGGGGUUUUAAGCCAUUUCUUCUCUCAUCUAAAAAACUAUAGCUAAUCUAUUUUUUCAAAUGGCUUUUCGCUUUUCGGCGCAUUUACUCGUAUUUACUUUUUCUUUUUUUAGUAGCCCUUGAGCUACCAUUCAUGAAAGGUUAGAGCGAAAAGAUGUUGAAGUAAUUUAUUUCGUAUAUAAAAAUCAUUACCCACCUCCUCUCCACCUUCACCCAUUCCCAUUAAUUUACAUUAUUUUUUUAAUUAAUUAAUUUUAAUGGGUGGCACAAGUUAGAUUCCAUUUUUCUUCCUUACCAAAUUUUUCUUUAUUUGUUUAAUGGUUAAAAUUGAGGAAUAUGCUUUUUUUUUUUCUUUUAUGUACAAUUUUUUUUGUUAGUUUUAUAUUAUAUAUAUAAAAGAUGUGUAAUACUUUUACUUAAAUUUGUAAUAUAUAGUUCUGUGAAGGAGGUGCCUCCCUCUCCUCUAAUGCUCCCAAGGACAAAAAGUAUCGGUUAAGAUAUGGAGUUGCUAGGAAAGAGUUGAAGGCGCUGUGUUACCUCACGAAAUAGUUGGCCUCGGUAGAGGAUGCUCUAGACAAGGGUGCAAAGGGGUCCGAUUUCUAUGCAACUGUUAUAUUUAGUUUAGAUUUAUAGUUAUCUAAAUUGGAGUUAAACCCUAAUCUAAUUGGGAUUGAAUAUAAUUUGGCAUAUAUGGAUUAUGAGUCUGAAUCUAAUUUCAAAUUGAAUUAGAUUAGACUUGUGUUUAGAAAUCCAAUUAGAUUAGAGUUCCAAUUAAGUUUUGGUCUUUUGAGAGAUUCAAUCUUGUACUCCGUCUUUCAACAUUAAUAAAGUAUUUGCUCUGUUUUCAUCCGUGGAUGUAGGCCAUUUGCCGAACCACGUAAAUAUUGGUAUGCUCUUUUCUCUUAUCUUUUCGUUUCCUGCAUUAAAUUAUUUUCUGCAUCUAUUUUUCGCUUUUUCGAUUUUAACAGUAACAAUUUUUUUUAUCUUAUAGUUCUAUUUGUCUUUCGUUGUUUUUAUUGAAUUAUAAUUCCAUUAUGAAAGCUUUAAUAUGUUUUUUACUUAUUAAUUCCAAUCAAAUAUGAUUAUAACCUUUUUUUUAUAUUCUAUAUUUGCUUAUUUAAUCUAUAAAUUUUUAAUAAAAAAAUUUUAUCUGCCAUUUCGCGCGGUUCCUACACUAGUUAAACAACCACACAAGCGAAAAGGGAAAAGGGUAUAGUUGGUGACUUUUAAUUUUUUUUUUAGGCCACUUUUUUUAUUAUGACUUUCAUUGAUUUGGAUGAGUUGGAAGGCGUGUAUGUAACGUAAACUGAUCAAAUUUGGGGCAAGUUUUUUUAAAAAAAUCUAAAUCCAAUCCUAAUUACCAAACUCAAAUUUAAAAUUGGAAUUUGAAUCUGACGAAUUUUUAAAAUUUAUAUCCAAGCCCAAAUCUUUCCAAAAAUUCAAAAUCCGAAACGGAAAAGUCCAACUCGAAACAAUUAUUUCUUUUUGCCAUAUUUUCAAACAUAUUAUAUUGAAUCUAAAGUAAAAUAUAAAUUCAAAUAUAAACACCAAAUAUUUAUAUUUAUUAUAUUAUGUAAAAUCAAUUCUAGUUCGUGUCAUAUUUUGGAUUCAAAACGAGUACAGACAAAAUCCAUACCUGAAUCCAAAUCAGACGAGUUUUCGGCUUUUAUAUCUGUAUCCGAAAUGAUAUCCAUUUAGUAUUAAAUAAAUCCGCUCCAUUUGAAUUUGUUUUCGAUAAAAUUUUGAAUAUUUGUUUUAGAUUUGUCUUGAAGUGUGGGAAAUUUUGGUUAGAAUUUGUUUAGGAGUGUGGAAAAAUUUCCAGCACUUUGAUGACUUGAAAGCCUUCUCUAUGAAACUUCCAUUUCAUUUCCUCCCCUUAUCAAGAAGCACACAUGAAAUUGGCCAAAAGAUAUCUAAUAUGUUUUUGGUCGACCAAAAUGGCUUCAUUGAUUUUAUAAAAUUUCUUCAAUAUAUCCAUAACUAUAGCAUUUACUAAUGAGAUUUGAGGUUUAGAAGAACAUUUUGAGAAUAAAGGAAUGUAUAAAUUUAAAAAAAUUGAAUAGUAGUAGGAGAUAUAUAAGCAAAAGCCCCUAAAAUUUAUAUAGCAAAUAAAUCAAUCAUUCUGAGUCAGGAUGAAUGAAAAGAAAAAAAAUAGUGAAUAAUUUAUUACAUUCGGAGAACGGUAAAUGAUUUAUUAUUUCUUUAAAGACUAGAAGUUUUAUGUAUUAAAAAUUGAGCAACAUUAAUUACUUACUUUCAGUAUAGACUAUUUAAGAUGAUGUAUAGGGUUUAUGGUUUAAGAUUUAGGCUAAAGGCCGUGAACAAUUCAUCAUCUCGUACGGAAAUUUAAAGUUUGUUUUCAUGCAAGAAAACAUUUAGAAUUGUCUAUAACACACCGGCAAAGUACCAGUUAAUUUGUUCCAACUGUGAGAAAGUGCAACCAAAGCUCUAGAUUAAAGUGUUACGCGCCUCAUAGUUCGAGCCAAAAAUUGCGACGAACUGAAGUUCAAGGACUUGUCACGCAUCUCACACAUCGAGCCAAAAAUUGUGCUGAAUUAAAAUUUGAGAACUAAAGUGUACAGUUUGAGCACGAAAGUGUAAUUUACACUUAAGGCAGCGUUUGGUUAGGCGAUAAGGAUAGGAAUAGGCCCUUAUCCCCCCUUUAUAUCCAAACGCUAAUUUUUUAUCCGAGAAUAGUAGUUCUCGGUUAUCCCCACCAACACCUUCAUUUUCUAUAUAAAACUAUCUAAAAUUAUUCUUAUCUCCAGGAACAACCCAAUUUUCAUCCAAACACUAUUUUUCUUAUCCCCAUACUUGUACCUAUUCCUGUAAUAGCUAGUUCUUGCUUAUACCUGAACCACCUUACGUUUUAUCCACUAGUAGGGGGCCAAUAAUUGCAGCCUCAGUUUAGCGGUGGCGUGGGGUCAAGAAACACGACCUUGGAGGCUUGGAUGAUUUAAUUAUUCGAUUUCAGGACUGGGGCGUGGACUCUCUAAAGAAGUCGGCAGAACCUCCGGUCAUGCGAAAUCACAUGCAAGUUUUCCCCAACCUAUACGCUCCUUUUUCUUGUCUGCAUGCAGUUAAUUUGCAUAAAGAGAGAUACCAUACCUGCUGUGUAUAUAUAUUACCUAAUAAGUGAGUGAUUAUUUUAAGCAUUUCUCUUUCCUCGUUCUCUAUCUUUUGCACUCCAAGUGUUUGAUGAAUUGCCUGAGAAGUGGUGAAGUAGCUGUGGUUUAAGCUUAUUAUAUGGAGGAUUAUGGCUUUACCUUUCAUAGCCGAAUCGGCGGCGUCGGCAAUCAUUGAGAAUCUCGUUAGCACUUGCUCAUCCUACCUCGAGGCGUGCCCGGCGGCCGGCGGCAUGCAGGACGAGCUUGAACGGCUGCAGCACGCCCUUCCGCAGGUCCAAGCAGUCUUGACUGCGGUCGAGGAGGGUGCGAUGGUCAUGGCGCAGAACAAGGCGCUGGAUACGUGGCUCUGGCAGCUCAGAGAUGCCGUGGAGUGCGCGGAGGACGUGCUCGACGAGCUGGAGUACUACGAGCUAGAGAAAACAGUACAAGAUCGAGAUAACGAGGUGCCUGGCAUUCUCUCUAAAUGUAGGAGAAAGUUUGACAGUUUCGUUAAUCGUAUCUUUAGCGAUGACACACUGAAGAGGUUGAGGGAGGCCGUCAAGGGGUUGGAUCGGGUCGUUGCCGGUAUGGGGCCACUCCUUCAACUUGUUACUGGGUUAUAUGGCCCUGGCGUUAAGCGUCGAAAGAUCGAGGAAGUCCGGAAUGCUCGCGAGACUAGCUCCUUGUUAACCGAAAGUGAGGUGCUCGGACGAGACGAGGAGAGGGACUUGAUAGUCGAAUGGUUGAUCAAACCGAGAGAUACCGAUGUCUCUGCUUUUACCAUUGUUGGUAUGGGUGGGUUCGGGAAGACUACCCUUGCUCAACUAGUUUAUAGCGACGAAAGAGUGCGAGAGUACUUCGACCCGAUUAUGUGGGUUUGCGUUUCUCAAGACUUUGAUGCAGCUGUGAUAACAAGAAAGAUGUUAGAAGGUGCAAGUAGUGAGAGUUUUGGCGACAAGAGUCUAAAUGCGCUCCAUUAUAUCCUUAAACAGAAAAUUUUGUCGAAGCGCUUUUUGCUCAUGCUAGAUGAUGUUUGGAAUGAUGAUAAUACGAUAGAGUGGGAGAAAUUAGUUGCUCCUUUGAAAUUUGGACAAAGAGGAAGCAAGAUCCUUUUGACAACUCGAAUGGGUUCAGUUGCAGAUAUGGUGGCAAAAGUGAUGCAAUGUAAAAAGGAAUCUUUAAAUCUAAAUGGGUUGAAGGAGAGCGAUUGUAUGUCGCUUUUCAAUAAGCACGCUUUUCUUGGUGUGAACCCUGAUGAUUAUAAAAACUUGCGACCGAUUGGCGAGCAGAUAGUGAAGAAGCUUGGCGGAUGCCCAUUGGCAAUAAAAGUUACGGGAGGGCUCCUGAACUCCUGCAUGGAUUAUGACUAUUGGAAAAGAAUCUUGAAAAAAGACAUUGUAGAAUUACAACAUAGAAAAGACGACAUCAUGACAAUUUUGAGAUUAAGCUAUGAUCACUUACCCACAAAUUUACAACUCUGCUUUAGAUAUUGUAGUAUAUUUCCGCAGGAUUUUAUGUUUAAGAGGAAAGAGUUGGUCUAUAUGUGGACGGGUUCAGGUCUGAUUCCGCAGUCUAUUUGUGGGACACGGAGGCCAGAAGAUAUAGGAAAGGAAUAUUUAGAUCUUCUGACAAGAAAAUCAUUCUUUACAUGCAAAGCCAGUGAGCGUGGAUUUGAAAUUCCUAAAUUUUAUGUUAUGCAUGAUCUGUUGCACGAACUAGCACAAUCUGUUUCUCUAGGGGAAUGCAUCAGAAUAGAAGGUGAUGUUGUAGGAAAAACUAUUCCACGAACAGUUCGACAUUUAUCUGUUGACAAGGUCAAUAUUCUUUCCAUAAGAGAGAUAUCCAAUCUUAAGAAAUUGCGCACUCUUGUCAUAUCUAUUAAGAAGAAUCAUGAUCAUAGUGCAGAUCAUGCACUUGUAUUUAACGAGGUUAUAAAAGGGUUUAAAAGCUUACGCUUAUUCAGCUUAUAUGUGAAUUUUGACUUUCAUAGACUGCUCGAUGCACUUUACUGGUUGAUACACCUCCGCUACUUAUCUCUUACCCUAUCGCUUCCGCUAGAGGCAGUUAUGAAUAAAAGUUUCAUGAAUUUGUUUCCUCAAUCUCUUUUUAGGCUUUAUCACCUAGUAGUCAUGAAGUUCUCGACCCCUGUUUUAAUGACUUCUAGGAAUAUUGAAUAUGACGGCUUGACUAACUUGGUCAAUUUGCGUUUGUUAGAUCUUCCUCGUGGUAUGAUAAAAAAUAUUCGUUAUGUUAGCAAACUAUCCUUCAUCCGCAAAUUGGAAUAUUUUUUUGUCCAAGAGGAGAGUGGUUACAAAAUCAGUGAACUAAAGAACCUAAGAGACCUUCGUCGUUUGAAUAUUAGAGAACUUGAAAAUGUGAGCACUUCUGAAGAAGCUACGGAGGCCAAGUUGAACGAGAAAGAAUAUCUCAAAUCAUUGUUAUUGGGAUGGUCCAGUGACCGCUGCCAUAGUGCAGAGGCCGAUGAGCAGCUGCUUGAUAACCUCUGUCCACAUAUCAAUGUCAGGAAAUUGUGUAUUGAAGAAUACAAAGGCAUUAAAUCUCCAUGUUGGAUGACAGAUUUGUAUCUCAUCAAUUUGACAUGCAUCCAACUGGUCAACUGUAAAGAAUGGGAGCACCUCCCACCUCUUGGGGGUUUGCCUUCGCUCAAUAUUAUUCGGUUGAAGGGAUUGGUCGCUGUAAAGCAAAUAGGUUGUUCAUUCUAUGGGUGCGGUGGUGUAUGUGCCUUUCCAUCGUUGAAGCAACUAUUCUUACUUGACAUGCCUAACUUGGAGGAGUGGAUUGGAAUAGCUGAUGGAUGCAUGUUUCCUCAGCUUCAUACUAUGGUAAUCCGUGACUGCCCUAAUUUGAGGGGAAUGCCUACUUUGCCUCGUAGCCUUAGACUGUUGCUUAUUUCUCAUGUUGGAUUGACUGCUCUUCCAGCAAUAAAUCAGGAUUGCAAAAAUGACAGUUUAAGUUCUCUUUUUUAUAUUGAACCACCAAUUCAUAUUUCCAUUUGCUAUGGUUGCCCAUAGUUAACAUUUUUACAUUUUUUAUUCUGCAGCAGCAAGAACAUGUUAUGGCUCUUGAAAGCUUAAUCAUCGAACAAUGUGAGAAGCUCAAUUAUUUUCCAACAGAAUUUUUUGGGAAUUUGAGCCUUGUAAAAUUCUUGAGUAUAGAAAAGUGCCCGAAGUUGACAAAAUGUGGGAUCACAGACAUCCAACCGCCUUCUGCACUCGAUAGACUCAUUAUUGGGUCAUGCGGCAACCUUGAGGUGGCAUUGCUCUGGUCAGCGAAUUUAACCUUUCUUACUUGUUUGGAUUUACUCGAUUGUGCAAGUAUAGCAUCCCUUCCCCCAGCACAAGUGUGUGUGCGAUGGACCAUGCUCUCCCAUUUAGCAAUAAAAAACUGCAAAGAACUAUCAUCAUUUGGUGGAAUACAAGCUCUCAUAUCCCUUCGUUCUUUAGAAAUUGAAGGGUGUGAUAAGCUAAUUGAAGUUUCCCUGCUGCAGCCUCCAUUUCCAAACAAUGUCAGCCAAAAGAAUCCAGUGGACUGCUUUCUGAAGCUUGGUAGACUAUCAAUUGACCAUCAUGCGCUCUUGCUCAUGGAGCCAAUAAGAAGUCUCACCUUCAUUAGCAGUUUGACCCUCUCUGGUGCUUCGCAACUCACCUCCUUACCUGAGGAAUGGAUACUGCAAAAUCACACUGCCCUCAAAUUUUUAAGCAUAAGGAAUGCAGUCUCCCUUCAGUCCCUAACCCAGAGCAUGACAAAACUGUGUUCUCUCGAGAAUUUGGGUGUAUAUAAUGCUAGUCUCAUCCGGUCACUUCCAGAUCUGCCUACUUCGCUGUGUACUCUAUGCAUCACCGGGUGUCACCCUGUGUUGAAGGAGCGAUGCCAAGAGAAUAUAGGCCUUGAUUGGCCCAAGAUUGCCAACAUCCGUUAUGUGAGGAUUGAAUAGCACUUGCAGAGGUGAUGAAGCAUAUUGUAUGUACACUUUACCGCCCUUCAUCUCGCCCAUGCUACCCUCUGUAAUUAAUGCAAUUCACUCUGGUCUUAAUGACCUACUUCUCAUUCAAUCCUAACAAGUUUUAUCUCAUUUGUUGCAGGUUUACUUCCCUUUUUUCUGGAUACUGCUCCUUUUUGGAUAACGCAAGAGCUAGCAGUCAGGUUCAUAUUUAACUUAGCAGACUCAAAAGAAUUUUAUAUUUUUCACCCUUAAUUUACAGUUUGGAUACAUAAAUUAGAAGUAACGUGCUGCUCACAGGACUUGUGUGAUUGAAAAGAUAGGAUUAUAUCCGAUUAGCUAAUGCAUCUGUCGAGCACCUACCUUCCAUAUCUAAAUUAGAAGUUAAAUAAAUUUCUAGCUAGUGGCAAAGGGCUUGGUGGUUGGUACCCGAGACCCAAGUUCCAAUCCUAGUUGAUUCACAUUUCCAGCUAAGUUUAUUUCUAAAUGAAAUAAACGAAGCGGGUAGCGUGCUACCUAUCUCUCAAAAAAAAAAAAAAAAAAAAAAUUUCUGUCUCAAGACAUCUCUUGCUCUUCAUUUCACAUGCUAGGCCUGAACAUUGAAGCAAUGGAUUAGUCAUGUAAGACAAACAAUUUAUAAUGAUUAUUAUAAAUACUUUCUACAACUAAACAUGACUACUUGUCCAGUAAUUUUUUUCCAGGGGAAAUUAGAGAAGCGCGACAAAGCAUUCGAGUUGUUUUAAGGUAUUGAGUAUUAGGACAUCCUUCGUCUUACUGCAUGCAUGUGUUCUUCUAUUUUCUUGGUGCAGGUUUAGAGAAAGACUCCAUGUAGUAUUGCAUUUUCUUUCUUUUUAUUUUCUAUUGCCAGAUGAGUGAAAAAUGUGUAAGAAAGAAAUUAUCCUCUUUUGGAGCAAAUUAAGAGGUUAAGCUUAAAUGCUUCAAUUUUGUUUCCCCUCACUUUAUCUGCAUUUAUCCUAAAGAUAAUUUAACAUUGUUUGAUUCCUGCACAAGUAACAAACCUCAUCGCAUGGUGAGCUUGUUCUGUUUGUGUCUUAUCUGAUGAAGUUGUUAAGCUUCUUUGAAGUAGCUUAAACACCUAAUUUGGAAACUGUUUAUUUCAAGCUAUGUUUACUUAGCAGCAUAACAAGCACCCAGGUUAAACUUGUGAACUUAAUUUCUGUGGUAUAAAUUAUACUUUAAAUAUUGUUAAACUUAUUUUAAGCUUCUAGUGCAGGUUGCAUCGACAUUUGGAGUAAAUUUGGUAGGUGUGCUCUGUCGAAAAGGCUCGGUCAGACUCUUUGUGAAAGGAAAACGAGGCUACACUACAGAAGGCACGAACUUAACAACCAUAUUCAGCAGCUACCAGAUUUUAAUCUCUUUAUCAAUUUUUUUGAAAAAAUAAAAUUUAAUUUUCUAAUGCCUUGAAGAUAGAAAAACACAUUCAGAAUUGAACCAUUUUGGCGGUUGUUGUUCAUGUUUCAGUUCAGUCUUCAAUCUAAGUUUGGUUUUGAUUCAGAUUUUUCGGACAUUAGUGCUUUUCAAGUGUUCAUUUUCUGUCUAUACUGAACACACUCUAUUGAAGAGCUCCUCAUUUUUUCUUUUUUUUUUAAAAAAAUUUACACCCUCUUAACUUUUCUAUUCAGCUAUUUCAGUUAAUUAAAGUGAAAACUUUGUUAAUUUUAAUGGUAUUAUUUUUUUCUAUAAUUUAAUGCUUCAAUAAAAUUAUUUUUAGUAGUUUUUUUGUGUAACCAAACACCACACAUUAUGUGCACUGAGAAACAAUUGCCUGUACCCAGUGUACACAUAUAUGUGCACCGCACCAGUAUAUGAUCCCAUAUGUUUGAUCUAAAAUAUCUAAAGAGCCUAUACUGGAAAAAUUGUGAUUUUUUGAAAAGGGUAAACUUCAAAUUGCCUCCCUGUGGUUUAACUUAUUUUUAUUUUAUCAUUCAAUGGUUUAAAAAAUUAUAUUUAAUUAUUUUAUGUUUUAGCGUAUUUUUUACUUUGUCAUUCUAUCAUUAUUUUCAAAAUCUUUUUACUUUACCGUCCUGUUGGACAUAAAAUUUUUUGUUGAAACAAAAAUUAAAUCACGUAGAUAUCGAUUGAGCAGUUUUGAGAUUUAGGCUUCGUUUGAAAUUACGGGGAGAUUGCGCUACGUGCGGUGAGAAAGUACGAUAAAAAAUAUCUUGUUUGUUUUCAUAUGUAAUAUUACGUUUCGCAUAUCGUAAUUAGUCGAUUAUGAUAUAUUUUCUAUGGUCCCAUCGGAGAACGCAGAAGUGUAUCCCUAUAUGCUUUUAUUCCAACUCCAUUUUAUCAAAUAGAACCUCAAUACCAAACUAAGCCUUAGUGGUAGAAAAAGAAUAAAAGUUUUUGAUUUAUAAAAAGUCAGUGUCAAAUUUAUUUAUUUAUUUAUUUAUAUACAUAGGACAUUUAAAUACAAAAGAUGCAGCCAAUAAUUAAUUCCCUUAAUAUGUAAUUACUUCUAUGUAAUUUUUCAAUUCGUAACUUUUUAAAAUCCAAGCCCAAUUCAAUUAAUAUGAUCUACAACAAUAAAGGGAUUAUAUAUAAAAAAUUACAUGAUUUAUAAAAAAUAUAUAUUUCUGUAACAUCAAGUAAAAUAAAAAAUCAGUGACUGCCUAUAACGCAUCGGUAAAAUACUAGAUUAAAUUUAAGCUAAUAUAAGAAAAAUUUUUGUAAAUAUUCGUCUUUUCUCUUUCUCUCUCUAACUUCUAAAAAUAUAUUCGUCUUUUCUCUUUCUCCUUCUAACUUUUAAAAAUUUAUAUAUUUUCUGCCUCGAAGUUUCAAGUUGAUGUACUUUGUCUCCGCCGUCAGAAUUCUGUCACUGUCCCAUCUUUUUCUUAUAAUUUAUGACGGGAUAUGUCCGUAAAAAUAUAUUAAAAAGCUAAAUUUUUUUCCGUAG